This 66727-nucleotide long non-coding RNA is filed under the name Triticum aestivum (bread wheat). Its description in RNAcentral is "long non-coding RNA (TAES_LNC017666)". The stretch from base 1930 to 2053 matches the Rfam family "MIR1120/MIR1122 microRNA precursor family". Lineage: Eukaryota; Viridiplantae; Streptophyta; Magnoliopsida; Poales; Poaceae. The record is from RNAcentral.
AACAAAGUUCAUGACCAAUUUCACCACCAAAUUAGUCCAGCACGCCAAACUUAAGGAGAUCAACAAGGUUUCAUGACCAAAUUCGCCACCAAAUCAGUUCAUCAUAUGCCAUACUUGAGGAAAUCAACAGAAUUGCAUAACCAAUUUCACCACCAAAGCAAGUUCAUCGCAUGCCGAACUUGAGGAAAUUAAGAGAGUUCAUGACCAACUUCACCACCAGACCACUACCUACUGGAUCCAAGACGAUCAACGAAGCAAAACAAGGAAGAAAAGACACCAAACAUGACCACAUCAACAAGGCGUCUCUCACACUCUCGCGCCGGCCACCUCCAUGAGCACUACCGCUACCACUACCUACUCGACCUUGACGUGGAAGACGUCCUUGCGCUCCUCCUCCUUGACCUUGAGCAGGGUGACCCAGAGCACGCCAUUCUUCAUCUCGGCCUUGAUCCUGUCCAUCUUGUACGCGUCAGCAGCGGGCAUCUCGAUGCGGCGGUUGUACCUCGGCACCGCGGAGUCGUCGUCGCCGUCCCAGGGCUGCUUCUCGCCCUCGCCCUCGAUCACCAGGAUGUUCUUGUCCGCGCGCACCUUCACAUGCUCCUUGGUCAGCCCCGGCAUCGGCACCUUGAGGUACACCGCGUCGUCGUCCUCCUUGGCCACCCAGCGUCCGAGCCGCGACGCCCCAGCACCAGCAGUGGAGGAGAGGCCGGUCUGAGUUGCGACGUCCUCCAUGAGAGACAGCAGACGGGCCAUGCUGGUCCGCGCGCCGAGCGGGUCGAGCACGUCUGCAGAAUCAACACCAAGGACGGCAAAAGCAGAUCAGAACGCUGAUUUGACUCGCGAUGUUGAGACUUCAGAACGAACGCAAAGAAAUGGCGGCCGUGGGGAACGGAAGCAUACCCUGCGAGAAGAAGCUGGGGAUGACGCGGCCGCGGCCGCUGUAGUCGUCGUCGUCGUAGCGGCUGACCUCCUUGCCCUUGGCGUUGUACGGGCGGUGGUCGGCUGUGACGGCGGGGGAGUGGAGGGGGCCGAAGGCCACGGGAGCACCGGAGUUGAGGAGGCUGGCCGGCGCGGCACCCUUGCAAGCGACGGCGGAAGCCAUGGUAUCUCUCUUCUCUCUCUCCUCUUUCUCUCUCUUCUUUCCCUCUCUCUCUCUCUCUUUCUUCUGCUGUGAUUUUGGAUUCUUGUGGUGAGCGAGAAGGGGUGCGAAAUGGAGUGGGUUUUGUAAACCGGGAGCGGGAAGCUUUCUUGGGGGAGGGGGUGGGGAGAUGGGUUUAGAAGGUUCUCGAGAGAUCGGUUGGGCUCUCGAGCCUUCGAGAAAGAUCGCGCGACCACAGCUUUAUGAUUCGUGCUGCUUGAUGUACGAUCGGGGCUCGUGGAUGAAAAUAAUCAUUGAUCUGCUGUGGUGCGCAAGGCAAGAGAAGUUGAUGUACGUCGGCUUAUGAGUGAUUUGCUUUCUAAAGCUGAAGGUUGUUACUUGGUUCAUCUGCACCAUACACCAUUAUGAGUGAUUUGCUUUCUCUAGUGUGCUUGCCGCUUGGCAAUAAAGCAACCAAAACCAUACACCAUUUUCUUCUUCGAAAUAAUUCUUGUGUUACUCAAUUAGUGAUUACAAUCACGGUUGAUAACGUCCAAAACAUCAUCUGAGCCAAAUCCGAGCCAUACCGCAGUUCGGCCUAGGGACCUAUGAAAAUUUGCCAACACGUGACUAGAAGAAUUCUUAAUCAACACCAUUAUUUUGCGAAUGAAAAAAUGACAAAUGUACACAUUGUGAAAAUCCAAACAAACAACCAAACAUUCUAUGACGUCAAAACAUACACGGCCUUAUUUAAUGGGCUGUUAUUUAAUGUGCACGUAGCUACAUGUCAGGCGACUGGAUUUUCAUAUUCGAUCGGUCAAUUUUCUUGCCGUUGAUUCAAGGUACUUUAUGUGAUACCUUCUCCGUCCGAAAAUACUUGUUCUAGAAAUGAAUAAAACGGAUGUAUCUAUAAUUAAAAUAAAUCUAGAUAUAACCAUUUUUAAGAUAAGUAUUUUCGGACGUAGAGAGUAGGUGUGUAGGAGGUCGAGUGACUCCGUUACUUGUUCAGUCGAUUUUAGGCCCAUCCUUGCUGAGUGUACGAUGCAGCCUCCAUGCAUGCACAUGCAUGACUCCAGUCCGUAGCUUUUGGACGCACAUGCAUGGAUGAAAUGCAUCCCAAUUUUGGUGUGUGUGCAUGCAUUCUUUUCUUUUCUUUUUUGCUUUUGUUUUCUGCACCCUUUUCUUUUGUGUUUUAUUUUUUUUUAUUUACGUGCAUUUUCAGACGUUGUUUAUGUGUAAAUGUACACACACAAGUACUACAUGUACAAAUUACAUUAGAGUACGGAAACUUCACUCUUAUAAGUUUAUUCUACAUAUGGAUUUUUAUGUGCUAAUUGUCUAGAUAUAUUUAUUUUGUUUUUAUUAUUUUCUUCUUUAAGGGUAAUACCGAUGCUAAUUUUUUGUGUUAAUGUUUUGGUAAUUCAUUCUUUCAUAGAAAAUAUAUUUGUUUUGUUUUUACUUUAUUUUCUUCUUUAGGGUAAUAUCAAUGCUAAUUUUUGUGUGUUAAUGUUUUGCUAAUUCAUUCUUUCUUACAAAAUAUAUUUUUCUAUUAUCAUUUUUGUAUAUGUAUACACACAAGUAUUAUAUCAUAUGUGUGUACAUUAUACUAGAUUGCGGAAGUUGCAUUAUUAUAUGUGCAUUCACUGCAUAUUACAAAAAUCGCAAUUAUACUCAAAUUUGUUUGCAAGUUUUUUAAUUUCAUUUCUUCUUAAGAGUAAUACUAAUGUCACUAACUUAUUAUCUCUUAGAAAAAAUUAUUUGUUUUAUUAUGCUUUAGUUUUCAUUUCAUUUUCUUUUUGAAGAUUAAUACCAAUGCCACUAAUUCAUCCCUUGUUUAAAAACUUCUUUUUUAUGUAAAUUUUAUUAUUAUACAUUUAUUCUUACAUAUACUAAAAAUGUGCAAUUUACAUGUAAAUUGUGUGCAAAUUUCAUCAUUAUUUUUCAUUUUACUUUCUUUCUUCUUAAAGGGUAGUACUGAAAGAACAUGCGGUGCCCCCAUGUUUGGUUUUGGUAAUUAAUGACAAUCUCUAUGAACUAAUGGUUGCCUUGAGUUAUAUUUGAAGGAUUUGUCCAUAGGCAUUUCUUGAAGUCCAUGUGUUAGUUUCAAGGAGUUUAUGAGUUGACCAAGGUGCUAUUAAGGAAUUAUUCUAAGAUUGGUCAUGUGAGUGUUGAGCUUAUUGCAAGCAUGGCUUGAAGAAGAAGAAGAUUGUGUGAUCAUUCAUGUUUACCUUCAAGACAUCAUCCAAAUGAAGAGAGUUGGAAAGAUUCAAGGUUGAUCAAGACUAAGUCAAGAGUGAAUCAAGUUGAUCAACUCACAAAGCGUAGAAGAUGUACCGAGAGGGAUCAUGAGAAAAGCUUCUGGGCCCGUCCAAGAUGGGAUGGGAGAAAAAAAGCUAAAAAAAUCAAGUGAUCCCAUAGUAUGGUAAGCAUUGUCCAUUGCGCUUUGUGUACUAACCCAUGGUCUAUGUGAGAGUUCUAUGUGGGGUUAGGUACGUGUUCAUGGGCUUGCGUCAAGAGGAAGAUAUCACUCAACCCAUGGAGAGGAUGACAUCAAGUGGUGAUCGUCAUCAAGAUUGUCGUGUGCAAGUUCAAGUGGAGCAUCACGAAGAGAUCAAGUGCUUGAAGCUUGACAUCCAUUGUGGUGUCAAUGGACUUGUGAAGAUGUGCCGAAGAGUGGCUCACCCAUAGUGUGGAGUAUGGGGGAGCAAUCAUCUAGUCUUCAUCGAGCCAAUGCAAUCAAGAAAGGUGGUCCAACUUGAGGGAGACAAGAUCGUCAUCAUCUAGCUCAAGUGGACCAUGUGCAAGGCAAAGGUUUGCCCUUGAUAGGUUUUCUAUUUUACUGGUCUCAUAGUGGUAGUUGGGAGACCGGGUUAUAGGAUCGAUUGUCGUACUAUCAAGGGGGCUCUCGAUGAGUAGCUUGAUCGUAUCAUUCGUAGAGAGAUCAAACCAUUGCAUCCUUGCAUCAUCUUUCUUGGUUCUUGGUUGGUUAUCCUUGUAAGUCUCAGAGCUUAUGGUCAUCUUAAUGACAAGCUCGAGUUCUUCAAAAACCGUUUUCUUAUGCAUCUUCUUUUGUGUUUUCGGUGUUGAAGUUUUUACCGGUCUUAAUUGAGAAAGGGUUCUCACCAUUUUAUUUUGGGUAUUUUCUCUAUUGCUAUUUCUUGAUAUUUAUAUCAAGAUUGUGUUUGCUCUUGUCUUUAGCUUUCCAACAAACUUGAUUUCGUCGAAUUCGGAGCUCGUAUGCGAAAUGUGGCUGUUUUGAUCUUACCUGUUUUACAUAGAGAGGUUGUACCGCCACUUAGAGAGGUUGUACCGGUUGACCAGUACAACCGGUGUUUGGAGCGUUUGUACCGCUCCAGAAUUGGUCUGAAGGUUGUACCGGCCAUGUACCGCUCUAGAGCCGGACUAGUUUCUGUUUGGAGCGGUUCUUGGGCGGUUGUUGACCGGUUGUACCGGUUAGUUUUGUUUAACCGGUACUACCGGUUCCCCGGGCUGUUGUACCGCUUAGGCCUUUUUCCUACAGGUUGGUUUUUCCUCUACUUUGACCGGUUGUACCGGUUCGUGCACCGGUUGUACCGGUCUUUCAGUUUUCUGCACAUAACGGGCAGAUUCGUGGGGACCUAUAAAAGGGGGUCUUCUUCCCCAUUGAACCUUAUCCUUUGAGCUCGUGUUCUUCCCCCAUUGUUGACCUUCUUCGAGCUUGCUAUCUCUCAAUCCCUCCAUGGAUUCUUGCUAGUUUUGGGGGGAAAAGAGAGAGGAGAUCUAGAUCCACAUUUCCAUCAAUCGCUUUCUCCUCUGUGUGAGGGGAACCCCUUGGAUCUAGAUUUUGGAGUUCUUGGUGUUCUCCUUAUUGUUCUUCCUCUCAUUUUCCUCCCUAGCAUUAGUUGCUUUGGUGGGAUUUGGGAGAGAAGGACUUGGGCACUCUGUGUGCCCUUGCCAUUGCAUUUGGUGCAUAGGUUUGAGUUCUCCACGGUGAUACGUGGAAGUUACAAGUUGAGAAGCUUAUUACUCUUGGGUGCUUGGUACCCUUGAGCUUGUUCCUCUUGGGUGCUUGGGCGCCCUAGACGGUUGGUGGUUUUCGGAGCUCAAUCAUUGUGGUGUAAAGCUCCGGGCAAGCGUCGGGGUCUCCAAUUAGGUUGCGGAGAUCGCCCCAAGCAAUUUGAAGGGUUUCGGUGACCGCCCCCAAGUGUUGCCAAAGUGUACGGGUUCGGUGACCGCCCCGAAGGGUUGCCAUUUGUACGGGUUAGGUGACCGCCCUCAAGGGUCCCUUCGUGGAAUCAUGGCAUCUUGCAUUAUGCUAGGACGUGGGGAGAUUACGGUGGCCCUAGUGGCUUCUUGGGGAGCAUUGUGCCUUCACACCGCUCCAAACGGAGAUUAGCAUCCGCAACGGUGUGAACUUCGGGAUACAUCGUCGUCUCUCUUUCUUUCAAUUGGUAUCAGAGCCUCGUCUCUCUUUGUUAGGCUUAUCCGCCUAGAGAGUAAAGAUGUCGACUAGGGGAUUAGGAUUCUCUGACACUCUUAGUUUCGAUGGCACAAAUUUUGAUGUUUGGGUAAUUCGCAUGCUUAAUCUCUUUAGGGUCAUGGACCCAAAUUUAGAGCGAAAUGUAGAUAUGGGUUCUUCUCCUCCAAAGGAUCCCCAAAUAUUAUCUUUAGAGGAUGAGAAAAACUCUUAUCUCAAUGCUCAAGCUUCUAAUGUGCUUUUUCGAUGCUUUGAGCUAUGUAGUUAUUGCUACCUCUUGAGCACUGCGUUGGUUUUCCCUUGAAGAGGAAAGGGUGAUGCAGCAAAGUAGCGUAAGUAUUUUCCUCAGUUUUUGAGAACCAAGGUAUCAAUCCAGUAGGAGACUACAUGCAAGUCGCCUCGUACCUACACAAACAAAUAAGAACCUUGCAACCAACGCGAUAAAGGGGUUGUCAAUCCCUUCACGGCCACUUGCAAAAGUGAGAUCUGAUAGAGAUAAUAAGAUAAAUAUUUUUGGUAUUUUUUAUGAUAUAGAUUGAAAGUAAAGAUUACAAAGUAAAAUAGAUUGGAAACUUAUAUGAUGGAAAAUAGACCCGGGGGCCAUAGGUUUCACUAGUGGCUUCUCUCAAGAUAGCAUAAGUAUUACGGUGGGUGAACAAAUUACUGUCGAGCAAUUGAUAGAAAAGUGCAUAAUUAUGAGAAUAUCUAGGCAUGAUCAUGUAUAUAGGAAUCACGUCCGCGACAAGUAGACCGAAACGAUUCUGCAUCUACUACUAUUACUCCACACAUCGACCACUAUCCAACAUGCAUCUAGAGUAUUAAGUUCAUAAGAACAGAGUAACGCAUUAGGCAAGACGACAUGAUGUAGAGGGAUAAACUCAAGCAAUAUGAUAUAAACCCCAUCUUUCUAUCCUCGAUGGCAACAAUACAAUGCGUGCCUUGCUGCCCCUGCUGUCACUGGGAAAGGACACCGCAAGAUUGAACCCAAAGCUAAGCACUUCUCCCGUUGCAAGAAAGAUCAAUCUAGUAGGCCAAACCAAACUGAUAAUUCAAAGAGACUUGCAAAGAUAAAAAUCAUACAUAAAAGAAUUCAGAGGAGAUUCAAAUAUUGUUCAUAGACAAUCUUGAUUAUAAACCCACAAUUCAUCGGAUCUCGACAAACACACCGCAAAAAGAAUUACAUCGAAUAGAUCUCCAAGAAGAUUGUCGGGGGGAUGGACCCCGGGCAGGCAACGGAACCCGGAUCCUCUUCAAAAACAACGGGGCUGGCACCGCCCCUCAAUACCGGCGCGCGCUUGGCCGGGUCGCUCGACCCGGCCAAACCCCGCAAGCCGGCCAGGCUAGCCGACCCGGCAAGACACGUCGACUCGGCCCCAACAACUGGCGCAAGACAGCCGAACCCUGCACGGCCAAAAACCUCCUCACCGAGCCAGCGCCACCACUGGCGUGCUGCGCAAUCCAGCCGCGGGUCAACUCCCGUCCCAUCCAGGCCGUAUGAUGGGGACGAGACUUCAAUCAAUGAUGCCCGAGGCAACAGUGCCCCGCCCAUGCCUCUGGUCAGCAGGAACGCGGCAACAGUGCCCACCUACCCGCUGACCAGGGCAGGCGUGGCAACAGUGCCCCCACCCUCACCGCUGACGACAACAAGCGGCAAUCUGACGGAGAGCACUGUACGCGACUCAACUCGGCCACGCCCUGACGACCGACAAGACGGCACACAGUCCCCCUAGGCCUGCGGGGCCCGCACCUAGGGGAACCCGGCGAACCACAAGCUCUCAGCGGGGCCCAGCCCGGGACCCCGGACACCGACAACACGGACCCACCGACUUAUAACAUUACCAUUGUACCCCCGGGGGGUUGGACUAUAAAACCCCCCGGGAGCCCCCGAUCAUGCAGGAGACGAAAGCAGGAGGACUAGCCACAAAACAGCGACACCGGAGAGAAGGAGCAGCCCAAGCCUUGGCCAGCUUCCUUCCUCCUCCACACAGCUCUAGGAGCAACAUUGUACUAUCGAUCAUCCAACUACAUUAGGCAGGACUAGGGGUAUUAUCUCUCCGGAGAGCCCCAAACCUGGGUAUGUCCGGCGCCCCGCGCCCGCUCAUGCCAACCUCGCCUCUGGAGCCCACCAGCGCCCUCGAACCUCCUCCUCUCUUUAGCCAUCCCUUGGCAUCUGCCGUGCGCCCACCACGAUAGUUGGCACCCACCGUGGGGCAGCUCGAGGAGCUGGCCGGGAGCAUGCUUCGGACGGGGCCCUUCUCCUACACCGACGAAUCCAUCGCGCUGGCGGACGACGUCGUCGGCGCGCUUGCCGCCUCCUUCACCGCGCUGCGCAUCUCCGAUGCGUUCGCGGCCGACGAGUACCCCAGCGAGGUGCUCAGCUAGUCCGACUCUCCCCUCUCCCUCGGCGGCGGCGUUUCCGCCGGGGCAAUGGACGUCCUUGUGGAGGUCUUCGUCACCGGCGACGGUGCCUCCUCCUCGUCGAGCAAGACGAGGAAGGCUCCCGAAGCCAGGGCCGCAACGGAUCGGAUUGAGCCGUCCGAUCCAUUGCGCGCCGCGAUGCAGAGCCUCCGCACCCCCAUCAGCACCGACGUCGACGCCACCAACGUCGCUGAGGCCCGAGCCCAGCUCGAGGAAUGACGCAAGAAGAUGCUGGACCUAUCUGAGACGCUCGCCGCCACUCAGCGUUGCCUGGACGCCGCUCAGCUGGAGUGCGAUGCCGCCUACGGAUUCACGCCCGCCACGGCCGAGCCAAGCCGGGUCGCCGAUGUGCGUGCCCGGGGAGGAGCGAUCGGCCGGGCCCUCGGCGCCGUCCCAACCGUCUACGAGACUCCAGCAAAGAACAUGCGCGCUGCCUAGGCAGCCGCAGUCGGCCUGGACCAGCUCGCGGGUGAGGAGCUGAAAGAGCGCAUCGGGCGGAUGCGUGAACUCCUCCACGCCGCCAACACCCAACAGGAUCGCCUCAACCAGCUCGCCAAGCCGACGGGAUCCGGCUCCGCCCGCCUUGGCGGACCCGGCGAACUUCUGCACACCGCUUCCUCGCCACCCGGCGAGGCGCACUCCGGCCAAGCCCGGACUCGACGCGUUCCGGCCGCUACAGCCGCCGGCGGAUUGGGCGACGAGCCCGUCCUAGAGACCCAGCGUGGACCCGGCCAGCAUGGCUGGCGUCCGGCUCCAACCGACCCGGCCCCCCGUGGCCUGGCCGCAAGUCGACUCGGCCCGCGCGCCAUCAACGACACUGACGCUCGCCACCGCCUCGAUCGGCUCGCUCGCUCCUUGGAGGUGGAGGAGAGCGGUGCUAUCGGGCCAGUGUGCUUCAGCCCGCGCAUCCGGGAGGAGCCCUUCCCCAAAGGAUUCAUGCUGCCCCGCGACACCCCCAAGUAGAGCGGGACAGUGAAUCCAGAAGACAGGCUCGCCGACUACACCACGGCCAUUGGCAUCACCGGUGCCAAUCGUCGUCUCGUCGUGCGCUACGCACCGCUCAUGCUCCAAGGGUGGGCCCGCAUGUGGUUGAACAGCCUGCCGAUGGGUAGCAUCAACACGUGGGUGGAUUUUGAGGAAGCCUUCGUCCGGAACUUCACGGGGACCUACAAGCGACCCGGCCGCCCUAGCCAGCUCGCCAUGUGCGCGUGCAAGGGCCUACGGAGACCGGUCGCGAGUACCUCGCACGCUGGACCGAGCUCCGAAACAGCUGCGAGGGCGUCCAUGAAGUCCAGGCGAUCCAGUACUUCGUCAGCGGGUGCCUAGACGGCACCCUCCUCAAGCACAAGCUCCUACGCUCUGAGCCGGCCACCAUGGCCGCGCUCAUGGUGACGGCGGACAAGUACGCCAACGCUGACUCCGCCAUGAAGAUCCAGGUGGCGCUGGAUGAAGCCGGCAAGGCGAAGCCGGAUCCCCCUCCGAAGCCGGCCGACGAAAGCAGCCGGCAGCAGCAUCACCAAAACAACAAGCGCAAGGCCGACCAGCCGGCACCGCGUCACGACAACCGGCUCGUCGCGGCCACCGAGCCCGCGGAGGACCCGGCGGCGAAGCGCCGGCAAACCGACAAGACGGCAUGGAAACCCGCCAUGAGCUUCGAGCAGAUGCUCGACGCCUCCUGCAAGCACCACAGUGGCGCAAGACCCUCCAUGCACACGCUUCGGCAGUGCGCCAUCACCAAGCGCAUCAUGAGGGGCGACGUCCCGCCCCCUCCGGCCCCGGCUCCAAGCGCGGGACAGCCGCCUCCGACUCCACCGCCGCCUCCAGCUGGCGGCGCGAUGCGCGACGACGCCUACCCGGACCUGAGCGCGGCCUAUGUCGUUUUCACCAGCCUCGGCGAUGACAAGCGCAGCGAUCGCCUCCUUCGGAAGAAGGUGAACACCGUUGUCCCGGCCAAGCCGGAGUUCAUGCAUUGGUCGGAUCGCCCGAUCACCUGGACCCGGGAGGAUCGCCCGGCAGUCAUGCAGAGCCCGGGUGGUUACGCCCUCGUCCUCAACCCCACCAUCGUCGCGCGGCGUACAUGCAAGUUCUCCCGAGUCCUCAUUGACGGCGGCAGCAGCAUCAACAUCCUCUACCGUGACACGAUGACUAAGCUCGGCCUCAAGGCCGAGGACCUGGAGCCAACCCGAACGAUCUUCCACGGCAUCGUACCCGGCCUCUCCUGCUCCCCAUUGGCCGGGUCCGGCUAGAUGUCCUGUUCGGUGACAGCUGCCACUUCCAGCGCGAACCGAUCUGGUUCGAGGUGGUGGACCUGUCCAGCGCGUAUCACGCGCUGCUGGGCCGGCCUGCGCUCGCCAAGUUCAUGGCGGUUCCCCACUACGCAUACCUGAAGAUGAAGAUGCCGGGUCCCAAGGGCCUCAUCACCGUCACCGGCGAUUACCGCAAGUCCCUGGAGUGCGCCCGAGACGGCGCCAAGUUGGCCGAGUCGCUGGUCAUUGCCGAGGAGCGGUGCCAGCUCGACCGGAUCGUCGCCCUGGCAGGCGAGGCCUCCACCGCGUCAAUCCCGACCCCGGACCCGGCCGACGAGGCCACCUUCAAGCCCUCCAAGGAGACCAAGAAAGUGAAGCUCAACCCAGAAGACCCCAGCUGCAGCAAGUACGUUGUCGUAGGCGCCCGCCUCGACAGCAAAUAGGAAGGCGAGCUCGUCGACUUCCUCUGUGAGAAUCGGGAUAUCUUCGCAUGGACCCCCAAGGACAUGACGGGUAUCCCGAGGAAGUACGCCGAGCACAAACUUCAUGUCCGCAAGGACGCCAAGCCUGUCCGUCGACCCCUACGACGAUUUUCCGAAGAGAAGAACCAUUGGUGAAGAGGUCGCCAAGCUUUUGGCGGCCGGCUUCAUAAUGGAAGUGUUUCACCCCGAGUGGCUGGCUAAUCCAGUCCUCGUCCUGAAGAAGAACAAGACCUGGUGCAUGUGUAUCGACUACACCAGUCUCAAUAAGGCCUGUCCCAAGGAUCUGUUCGUCCUCUCGCGGAUUGACCAAGUCAUCGACUCGACGGCCGGGUCUGAGCUCCUGUCCUUCCUGGACGCUUGCUCCGGCUACCACCAGAUCAAGAUGGACCCGACCGACGCCCUGAAGACGUCCUUCAUCACGCCCUUUGGGGCGUAUUGCUACAUCACCAUGUCGUUCGGCUUGAAGAGCGCCGGCGCCACCUUCCAGCGCUGCAUGCAGAAAUGCCUGCUGCCGCAACUCGGCCGCAAUAUCCACGUAUAUGUGGACGACAUCGUGGUGAAGACCAAGCAGCACCUCACGCUCCUCGACGAUUUGAAAGAAACCUUCGCCAACCUCCGCGAAUACAAGGCCAAGCUUAACCCGGAAAAAUGCGUCUUCGGUGUCCCGGCCGGAAAGCUACUCGGCUUCCUCGUCUCGGAGCGCGGCAUUGAGGCGAACCUGGAGAAGAUCAAGGCCAUCGAGCGCAUGCGCAAGCCGGCUCGGCUGUGCGAUGUCCAGAAGUUCACCGGAUGCUUGGCCUCGGUCAGCCGGUUUCUAAGCCGGCUGGGCGAGAGGGCGCUACCCCUGUACCAGCUGAUGAAGAAGACGAGCCCGUUCGAAUGGAACGACAAGGCAGACGAGGCCUUCCAACACCUCAAGCGCAUGCUCUCGACCGCACCAGUCCUGGCCGCACCGACCGACAAGGAGCCGCUGUUGCUCUACAUAGCCGCGACCUCACGGGCGGUCAGCAAGGUGCUGGUGGUCGAGCGACCAGAGAAGGGCAAGAUCCAAGCCGUCCAGCGCCCAGUCUACUACCUGAGCGAGGUGCUCUCCAUCUCCAAGCAGAACUGCCCGCACUACCAGAAGAUGUGUUACGGCGUGUACUUCACCGCCAAGAAGCUGAAGCAGUAUUUCCAAGAGCACGUCGUCACCGUGGUCAGCACGGCGCCUAUCGGAGAAAUCAUCGGGUGCCGGGAUGCCUCUGGCCGGGUUGCCAAAUGGGCGAUCCAGCUGGCCGGCCACACCAUCCUCUACGAGCCCCGCACGGCGAUCAAGUCUCAAGCCCUAGCCGACUUCCUCGUCGACUGGACCGAAACCCAGUACUUGCCGCCGCCUCCCGACUUGACGCAUUGGCGCAUGCACUUCGAUGGGUCCAAGAUGCGACUCGGCUUGGGGGCCGCCAUCGUACUGUCGUCCCCGAAGGGCGACCGGCUCCGCUACGCACUCCAGAUCCACUUCGCCGCCUCCAACAACAUCGCCGAGUACGAAGCCCUUAUGCACGGACUCCGGCUUGCCAAGGAACUCGGCAUCCGGCGCAUCCUGUGCUACGGUGACUUAGACCUAGUGGUGCAGCAAUGCUCCGGCGAAUGGGACGCCCGCGACUCCAACAUGGCAAGCUACCGCUUCCUCGUCCAGAAGCUGUCCGGAUCCUUCGAGGGCUGCGAGUUCCUCCACGUCCCGCGCGCGGAGAACUAAGCAGCCGACACGCUCGCCAAGAUCGCCUCGUCAUGACAAGCCAUCCCGUCCGACGUCUCCCUCGAGCACCUGCGCAAGCCGUCCAUCUAGCCAUCGUCGGACUCCGAGUCCAUCCACAUUCCAGACGACCCGGCCGCACCUCAACCCGGCCCGGGACUGCUGAACCCGGCCCGGGGGCUGCUCAGCUCGACCCGGCCACCAUCGUCCUGGACCCGGCCGUCGCCAUCCCCGACCCAGGGGCUGCUCAACCCGGCUCGGGGGCUGCCGACUCGGAACCCACCCCGGUGGCCGUUUUCGCCGUGGUUGCGGCUCCAUCUUGGGCCCUCCCAAUAUCAGAAUUUUUGAAGAACGGGGUUCUCCCCAUGGACGAGACCGAAGCUCGGCAAGUGCAGGGCCUGGCGUCCGCCUACAACAUCAUCAACAAUGAGCUCGUCAAGCGCAGCUCCACCGGCGUGUUCCAGCGCUGCGUCGAGCAGAAGCGGGGCAUCGACAUCCUCCUCGACAUACAUCAAGGCGAGUGUGGGCACCACGCCGCAUCACGAUCCCUGGUGGCGAAGGCGUUCCGCCACGGCUUCUACUGGCCCACGGCCCUCCAAGAUGCCGAGUCACUCGUCCUCAGGUGUGAGGGAUGCCAACGCUUCAGCAAACGCAGCCACCAUCCGGCGUCAGCACUCCGCACCAUACCGAUCGCCUGGCCCUUCGCGGUCUGGGGACUCGACAUGGUGGGACCCUUCAAAACCGCCCGAGGCGGCAUGACGCACUUGCUGGUGGCAGUGGACAAAUUCACUAAGUGGAUCGAGGCAAGACCAAUCAAGAAACUAGACGGGCCAACAGCCGUCCGGUUCAUCAAGGACAUAGCGGUGCGCUACGGCAUGCCGAACAGCAUCAUCACCGACAACGGCACCAACUUCGCCAAGGGCGCGCUCGAGCAAUACUGCUCCGUCUCCGGCAUCUGCCUCGACCUGGCCUACGUUGCGCACCCGCAGUCCAACGGGCAGGUCAAGCGGGCCAAUGGACUCAUCCUGUCCGGCGUCAAGCCGCGACUCGUCGAGCCACUCAUCCGCUCACCCGACAGCUAGCUUGACGAGUUGCCAACCGUUCUCUGGAGUCUACGCACCACGCCAAAUCGGUCAACCGGGUUCACCCUGUUCUUCCUCGUCUACGGUGCGGAAGCCGUCAUCCUGACCAACGUCGAGUUCGAUUCACCGUGCGUCGCGAUGUACACCGAAGCCGAAGCCAGAGAAGCCCGCGAAGAUGGCGUCGACCUGCUCGAAGAAGCACGCCUCCUGGCGCUCAGCCGCUCGGCCAUCUACCAGCAAGGCCUAAGGCACUACCACAGCAAGAAGAUCAAGCCCCUCGCGUACCGCGAGGGCGACCUCGUCCUCCGGCUCGUCCAAGAGCAGGCAAGCCAGCACAAGCUGCCCCCUCCAUGGGAGGGCCCAUUCAUCGUGAGCAGGGCCUUGCGUGACCGCAACGCCUACUACCUCAUCGACGCACGCAAGUCAAGGAAGCGCAAGAAGGACACCGCCGGUGAAGAAACGACCCAGCCGUGGAACGCGGAACUCCUCUGCCCGUUUUACAGUUAGCCGCACGAGCGUAUGUAUCAUCGCCUUUUGUAAACGCAUGAAACUAUGGGGUCCGCGAACGAGACUCGGGGGCUGCCUUUUGUCGACCAAUUUAUUGUGUCCCUAUUUUCUUGCAUCACUAUGCCACUGAACCCGGCCACCGGUCCGACUCGCUCGACCCGGGGGCUCGGGGGCUGGCCGGUUCGGUCGCUACCCCACCGCCUUACUUGGUGAUUCCUGAUAAAGUUAGGAUGCCGCGGUCCCCCACUUCGCCCUAAAGCCACAGAUCCAGCUUUGGCUGUCGGCUGGCAAGGACAACGGGCCAAAGCUCCUUUACGCUUCAUACACUAAGCCAAAGGUUGCCGGGUCGAUCAACCCGGCCCGCCAUUCAUCAAAUGAAUAGCCACACGACCGGCUGCUCGCCACCCGGCUUCGCCGGAUUGCCGCCAGCCGGCCCAGUGGGUGUUUCGCUCGCGCUCAACGUUUCGAGGGACCCAAGUCCUGCGCGCUCCUCUCAAAGAACAGAACUCCUUGUCACGGACCGGAGCCUCAGCUGUCUGACUCGUGGGGGGGGGGAGGUUUGAGAAAGGAAAAGCGCAUGAAAUCGGUCCAAAAAACGGAAGGCAAAAAAGCAAAAGCACCCACGACAUCUACACAAGUACUUAAGAAAAGGCCCACGGCCCGAGUUCAUUACACCCUAAAACCCCCAGUGGGUGGGUGGACCUGCUAUUUAACAAAUUUUACAGCAAAAUGUCUCAGGCAUCUCCAGCGCCGCGUCGCGACAUCGAUGGCUCUCCCCUCGCGGCCUCCGGAUCCGGCGAGGUGCCGGUGCCCUCCUCAGCAUCCGCGUCGCGGUAGACGCCCGUCUCCUCCGAGCUCCCCUCCGGAUCGUGGAAGAGCAAGCCGUAGUCGUCACCGUCCAUGGCCCCGCCGUCUUCCAUCCGCUCCGGAUGGAACUCGUCGUGGAAGGCGAACUCGGCGAUGUAGCUGGCCCGGGAGGCGAUCCGGCCGGCUUGCUCCUGCAAGAGCUGCUCCGAACUGGCCCGCUGGCCCAUCAACGCGUCCUGCUGCAGGUCCGGAUGCCAGGACAGUGCGAACCAGAGCGCCAUCUCAGCACCGGCACGAGCGGCGGAGACGUGCCACUCGCCAAGCCGGUCCGGCCCCAUCUCCAAUCAACGCGCCAGGCGCGAGAAGCUGCUCGGUUCGACGGAGUCCGGCCAUAGGGGCGCCGUCAUUGCGGUGCUGGCCUGGGACAGCCGCCCCAACUGCGUUCCCAGGGCUUGCAGGCGGGCCUCAGCGGUGGCGAUGAUCUCUGGGAAGGUCCAGGCCACCCGCGGAUCCGUCCCGGACCCAACGACGCCGGCCGGCUCGCGCUGAUAGCGGACGGCUUCCUCCGCCAGCCGCUGCGUCUCUGGGAAGGCCCCUGCCGCAAAGGAAGAAGCGAGUUAGAAGAAGAACAACAAGGAAGAAAGGCCGAAUCCCGACCCGGCAAACGACAAGAAAAAGCACUUACUAGAGAAGGACUCUUCCAGGUGCUGCGCCUCAAGCAACGUACCACGCCGCUCCCGCUCGAUGGCGCGGUCGCGCUCCUCGAGCGCCUUCUCCAGAUCGGACGCCUUGGCAAGGGCCGCCUUCAGCUCGGCAUCCUUGUCGUCGGCCGCCUUCUCGGCCGCCUCGCGGCGACGGGCCUCGUCCUGACGGGCCCCCCCAGCCGUGGUGACCUGCCCCCGCAGGCGAUCCACCUCGGCCUGGAGCCGGCCCUUGUCGUCGGCCAGCUGGCCGCGCUGCUGGUCCGCCUCCACCAGGGCCUGCUGCGCCUCUGCCACCUUGGCGGCUUCUGCCUUAAGGAGCUCCACCUCGGCCUCGAGGCAGCUCUUGUGACCCGCCAGCUGCUCGUGCAGCUGGUUGGCCUCAUCGAGAGACCGCCGAGCCGCGGCCGCCUCCGCCCUUGCCUGCGCCGCCUCGACGCCAAGACGGCCGGUGUCGGCAAUGAGCUGGUCGUACUGAUGACCGGCCCAGAGCAGAUGAGUCUGCCAGGACAGCACCUGGCUGCAAAAAAGAAGGACUCAGCAGAAGAAAAAAGCAGACUUAAGAUUUGGCCCAACUGUUACACAGUUGGCCCGAAUCUCGGGGGCUACACCCAGUGGGUGCGCUAGCACGGCCCCACUAGAAAAGAGCACAAGGAUACCUGCGGCGACGCGGAGCUCGUCCUCCUUGGCGGCAAGCCGCUCCACGAGCUCCCCGUGCUUGCCCAGGAGAUGAUUGUUGGCGACGACCCGGAAGGCGUCGAGAUGCUGACGAGAGCAGAAGUCAGAACAAGGCCAACACUCUAAAGAUUCGACCCAACUACUACGUAGUUAGCCCGAACCUCGGGGGCUACACCCAGUGGGUGCGCUGGCGCGCCCCCACAAAGAAGAAAAUUGCAAGAAGACUUACCAGAACUGCGCGCUCCAGGUCGCGCGACCGCUCCACCUCGGCCUGGGCGAAGACCUCGAGCCGUUCCGCCCGGUCUCGCAGGCAGUGACUGACGGCGUCCAGCGCCACCUCCUCCUGGGUCUAAGGCCUGAAGACAACGGCGCCCCCGCUCCGCGCCGGCUGCGGCACGGCAGCUCGGCGCUCUCCCUGCCGGGGCACCAAGGCGUGCUCCCCGCUGGCCGCUCGCGACGCGGCCAGCACCUCCUCCGGGACACCCUCCGUCGCCGUCUCUGACCCGGACGCCGGGACGCCCUGCGUUGCCGUCUCCGGCCCAGCUGCCGGGGUGACCUCCGGCACCGCCGCCCGCGGUGCCUCCCCAAAACCGGCGGCGCCUCUUCCAAGACGCCGCCGCCUCCACCACCAUCAGUCCCCGCUCCCUCGGCCACGUUGGCCCGUUGAGGGGUGUCAUCCUCCACCUCCACGACCCCCCGGUCGGGGAUCACCACCUCAGCCCGGCCUCCACGGUCGCGCUCCCUCACCGACGACGGCUCAAAGACCGUCGCCGCCACCACCGUGCCCUCUGGCAUCUCGCGCCAGACCGGCUCCGCACCGGGUCCCGCCCAUGCCGCUGCCGCAUCGGUCCAAGCCCGGACCGACGCCGCCUCCAGCUCCGCCUCGGCCCGGUUCCUGUCCCGCCAGGCCAAGGCUUCGGCGUCGUUCGGAUCCAGGCCGAGGUCCGAGUCGGCCCAUCCCUCCACCUUGGCCUGGUCGGCAAGGUUGGACCGGCUCCUGCGGAACACGGCCCCUUCGGCGGUCGUGGCUUCCGCCGCCACCCUCGCCAGCGCGAUUGGCGACCUGGAGAAGAAGACAGAAUGAGCAGAAAAGAAAUAGGACUAGCUCAAGGAAAAAUCUGAGCGCAACCGAGAAAUGAAGCUUACCCUGCCAAGACCGGGACUGAUGUUGGCCUCCCGUGCCCGCCGCCGUCAUUCCUCUUGGCCGGCCUCCCGGCCCCGGCCGGGUCCGCCGUGCGCUUCGGGGCCCGGGGUCGCGGCGCGACGCUGUCUUUCCCAUGCGGGCGGCUCGGCGCCGCCCCAUGCGAGGACCCAGCUCCGCCCGCGUCGCCGCCUCCCCUCCCAACGCCACUACACCGACAACUGGCGUCAGCACCGGCCGUUCUGUGCCGCGGUCAGCAAUUCAAGACACAUGAAGAAAAACGCGAGACUUACCCGCGCGACGUCCAGCGCCGCCGUCAGACUCGGCCUCCUCCUCCCCGCCACGAGCCACGGGCUCCUCUGGCGCCUCCGGCUCCACCUGCGACGAAGCCCGGGCGUAAGGAUGCCGAAUCACGUUCAGAAGAACCCCCCGCGCCGCGUCAGGAUGGAUGAGAAGGUGCACGGCAGCAAAGUGAGAAGACCAGACACUCACCUGCGGCGCCAGGUUCGACUGGCUGUACGGCGCCUUGCCGAACCGCCAGUCCUCCACAAGGUUGGCCUUGGAGAUGUCGUUCACGCCGCGCGCGACCUGCUCCGCGGACAGCCACGUCGACCCCAUGCGGUUGGGGUCGUGAAGGCCAACCAUUUCGCCGAUGAGGCAGGAGCGCCCCUGAAGCGGAAGGACCCGGCGCAUGAUGAACGCGGCGAGGAGGUCGGUGCCGGUGAGCCCCUCCUGCGUCCUCAUCACCGUCACCCGCUCGCAGAGAUUAACGAUCUCCUGCGACGGGCGCUUGGGCGAGUAGCCCCAGUUCGUCUUCGCCCGCAGCGGUGCAAGGCUGGAAGAUUGAUGCGAUCCGCUCCAAGGUUGCGGACGUAGAAGAAGGAGUUGUGCCACUUCUUGGCAGAGUCCUCCAGCGGAAUCUUGGGGAAAUCCGCCCCCGACCGCUUCGAGAUGACGGCGGCGCCGCAAUCGGCGAACUCCCCGGCCGACGGGCCCUGCUGCUUUAAGGAGAAGAAGCGCGCCCAGAGGUCGAUCGUAGGCUCGACCCCCAGGUACCCCUCGCAGAGGGUGACGAAGCCGGAGAGUUGGACGAUGGCGCCGGCGCCAAGAUGAUGUGGCUGGAGCCGGAAGAACUCCAGGAAAGCGCGGAAGAAGGUGCUCGCCAGCAGCCCGAACCCGCGCUCGAAGUGCGUGAGGAAGACCACGCGCUCUUGCCCCUCGGGCCGAGGCCUGUGCUCACCGCGCGGCAGGCAGACGCCGACGUCCGUCUCCCACGGCAGGCGCUGCGUCGCCCGGAGUUGGGUGAUGUCCUCGGAGGUGAUGUUCGAGCCCAUCCAGGAGCCCGAUGGCAGCGACAUGAUGGAAGGAAAAAGAAGGAAGAUGGACGGCGAAGGAGUUCUGGUCGGGGCGGCGGGCGCCACAGUGCGUCAGUUGCAAAGAGCGGAGCAAGAGCAAAGGGACAGGAGGGCGCGAGCGAGAAUAAUGUCCGCCGCCCCCUGCCCCCCAAUUUAUAACCCUCGGUUUGAACGUGGGGAAGUGGGGAAGUGGGAUCGUCUGCAUGCGCCCGUUCCACUACCCCAUAAUAAGUGCGCACGUACACGCGCAGUAACUGCCCGGGGAAGAGCAACCGGCCCCCGGACGCCGCAAUAAAUCCGCGCGCUUGGGUCGAGGGCGCGCGGCGGCGGGCCCCAGCCCGUCGCCCGGUACCGUCACGCGCGUGGCCUGUCAAGCCCCUCUGGCUUCCGAGCACCACGUGGCGCCCGCGCAGAGCCCGAGGGAUUGCCCCAAGAUUCGGCGGACUUCUCGGUCCCCGCCACGACCGAUACGGCGCGAUCCGGUUUCCGAGAAAACCGGCACACAAUGGGUGUUGCCGGACCCGGCGCCGGCAGAAUCCACCUUGCUUAAGGGGGAAACUGCGAAGGCCCACUCAUCCGAAGACGGCGGACCUUCACAGCUUCGGGGACUACUGUCGGGGGGAUGGACCCCGGGCAGGCAACGGAACCCGGAUCCUCUUCAAAAACAACGGGGCUGGCACCGCCCCUCAAUACCGGCGCGCGCUUGGCCGGGUCGGUCGACCCGGCCAAACCCCGCAAGCCGGUCAGGCUAGCCGACCCGGCAAGACACGUCGACUCGGCCCCAACAACUGGCGCAAGAUAGCCGAACCCGGCACGGCCAAAAACCUCCUCACCAAGCCAGCGCCACCCCUGGCGUGCUGCGCAAUCCAGCCGCGGGUCAACUCCCGUCCCAUCCAGGCCGUAUGAUGGGGACGAGACUUCAAUCAACGAUGACCGAGGCAACAGUGCCCCUCCCAUGCCUCUGGUCAGCAGGAACGCGGCAAUAGUGCCCCUCACCUACCCGCUGACCAGGGCAGGCGUGGCAACAGUGCCCCCACCCUCCCCGCUGACGACAACAAGCGGCAAUCUGACGGAGAGCACUGUACGCGACUCGACUCGGCCACGCCCUGACGAUCGACAAGACGGCGCACAGUCCCCCUAGGCCUGCGGGGCCCGCACCUAGGGGAACCCGGCGAACCACAAGCCCUCAGCGGGGCCCAGCCCGGGACCCCGGACACCGACAACACGGACCCGCCGACUUAUAACAUUACCAUUGUACCCCCGGGGGGUUGGACUAUAAAACCCCCCGGGAGCCCCCGAUCAUGCAGGAGACGAAAGCAGGAGGACUAGCCACAAAACGGCGACACCGGAGAGAAGGAGCAGCCCAAGCCUUGGCCAGCUUCCUUCCUCAUCCACAUAGCUCCAGGAGCAACAUUGUACUAUCGAUCAUCCAACUACACUCGGCAGGACUAGGGGUAUUAUCUCUCCGGAGAGCCCCGAACCUGGGUAUGUCCGGCGCCCCGCGCGCGCUCAUGCCAACCUCACCUCUGGAGCCCAACAGCGCCCUCGAGCCUCCUCCUCUCUUUAGCCAUCCCUUGGCAUCUAUCGUGCGCCCACCACGACAAAGAUCGAGGAGAACUUUGUAUUGAGAUCCAAAGAGAGAGAAGAAGCCAUCUAGCUAAUAACUAUGGACCCGAAGGUCUGUGGUAAACUACUCACACAUCAUCGGAGAGGCUAUGGUAUUGAUGUAGAAGCCCUCCAUGAUCGAUUCCCCCUCCGGCGGAGCGCCGGAAAAGGCCCCAAGAUGGGAUCUCACGGGUACAGAAGGUUGAGACGGUGGAAAUAGGGUUUCGUGGUGCUCUCGGAUGUUUUCGGGGUAUAUGAGUAUAUAUAGGCGAAAGAAGUCGGUCAGGGGAGCCACGAGGGGCCCACGAGGGUGGGGGGCGCGCCUACCCCCUGGGCGCGCCUCCCAACCUCGUGGUCGCCUCGUUUCUUUCUUGACGUCCACUCCAAGUCCCUUGGAUUGCGUUUGUUCCAAAAAUCACUCUCCCGAAGGUUUCAUUCCGUUUGGAUUCUGUUUGAUAUUCCUUUUCUGAGAAACACUGAAAUAGGCAAAAAAACAACAAUUUGCACUGGCCUUUGGUUAGUAGGUUAGUCCCAAAAAUAAUAUAAAAGUGCAUAAUAAAGCCCAUUAAACAUCCAAAACAGAUAAUAUAAUAGCAUGGAACAAUAAAAAAUUAUAGAUACGUUGGAGACGUAUCAAGCAUCCCCAAGCUUAAUUCCUGCUCGUACUCGCAUAGGUAAAUGAUAAAAAUAGAAUUUCUGAUGUGGAAUGCUACCUAGCAUAAUUUUCUAUGUAAUUUUCUUUAUUGUGGCAUGAAUGUUCAGAUCUGAAAGAUUCAAGACAAAAGUUUUAUAUUGACAUAAAAAUAAUAAUACUUCAAGCAUACUAACUAAGCAAUUAUGUCUUCUCAAAAUAACAUGGCCAAAGAAAGUUCAUCCCUACAAAAUCAUAUAGUUUGGUCAUGCUCCAUUUUCAUCACACAAGAAUGCUCUCAUCAUGCACAACCCCGAUGACAAGCCAAGCAAAUGUUUCAUACUUUAGUAAUUUCAAACUUUUUUCAACUUUCACGCAAUACAUGAGCAUGAUCCAUGGACAUAGCACUAUGGGUGGAAUAGAAUAGAAUGAUAGGGGUUAUGUGGAGAAGACAAGAAAAGGAGACAAUCUCACAUUGACGCGACUAAUCAACGGGCUAGGGAGAUGCCCAUCAAUUGAUGUCAAUGCAAGGAGUAGGGAUUGCCAUGCAACGAAUGCACUAGAGCUAUAAAUGUAUGAAAGCUCAACAAAAGAAACUAAGUGGGUGUGCAUCCAACUUGCUUGCUCACGAAGACCUAGGGCAUUUGAGGAAGCCCAUUGUUGGAAUAUACAAGCCAAGUUCUAUAAUGAAAAAUUCCCACUAGUACAUGAAAGUGACAAAACAAGAGACUCUCUAUCAUAAAGAUCAUGGUGCUACUUUGAAGCACAAGUGUGGAAAAAAGGAUAGUAGCAUUGUCCCUUUUUAUUUCCCUUUUUUUGGGCCUUUCUUUUUUUGUCCUUUCUCUUUUUUUGGGACAAUGCUCUAUUAAUGAUGAGCAUCACACUUCUAUUUAUUUACAACUCGAUACUAGAACAAAAUAUGACUCUACAUGGAUGCCUCCGGCGGUGUACCGGAAUAGGCAAUGAAUCAAGAGUGACAUGUAUGAUGAAUUAUGCAUGGUGGCUUUGCCACAAAUACGAUGUCAACUACAUGAUCAUGCAAGGCAAUAUGACAAUGAUAAAGCGUGUCAUAACAAAUGAAACGGUGGAAAGUUGCAUGGUAAUAUAUCUCGGAGUGGCUAUGGAAAUGCCAUAAUAGGUAGGUAUGGUGGCUGUUUUGAGGAAGAUAUAAGGAGGCUUAUGUGUGAUAGAGCGUAUCGUAUCACGGGGUUUGGAUGCACCGGCGAAGUUUGCACCAACUCUCAAGGUGAGAAAGGGCAAUGCACGAUACCGAAGAGGCUAGCAAUGAUGGAAAGGUGAGAGUGCGUAUAAUCCAUGGACUCAACAUUAGUCAUAAAGAACUCACAUACUUAUUGCAAAAAUCUACAAGUCACCAAAAACCAAGCAUUACGCGCAUGCUCCUAGGGGGAUAGAUUGGUAGGAAAAGACCAUCGCUUGUCCCCGACCGCCACUCAUAAGGAUGGCAAUCAAAGAACACCUCAUGUUUCAAAUUUGUUACACAACGGUUACCAUACGUGCAUGCUACGGGACUUGCAAACUUCAACACAAGUAUUUCUCAAAUUCACAAAUACUCAACUAGCACGACUCUAAUAUUACCAUCUUCAUAUCUCAAAACAAUCAUCAAGUAUCAAACUUCUCAUAGUAUUCAAUGCACUUUUUAUGAAAGUUUUUAUUAUACCAAUCUUGGAUGCCUAUCUUAUUAGGACUAAUUUUAUAGCCAAAGCAAAUUACCAUGCUGUUCUAAAGGACUCUCAAAAUAAUAUAAGUGAAGCAUGAGAGAUCAAUAAUUUCUAUAAAAUAAAACCACCACCGUGCUCUAAAAGAUAUAAGUGAAGCACUAGAGCAAAAUUAUCUAGCUCAAAAGAUAUAAGUGAAGCACAUAGAGUAUUCUAAUAAAUUCCGAUUCAUGUGUGUCUCUCCCAAAAGGUGUGUACAGAAAGGAUGAUUGUGGUAAACUAAAAAGCAGAGACUCAAAUCAUACAAGACGGUCCAAGUAAAACACAUAUCAUGUGAUGAAUAAAAAUAUAGCCUCAAGUAAAGUUACCGAUGGACGAAGACGAAAGAGGGGAUGCCUUCCGGGGCAUCCCCAAGCUUAGGCUUUUGGUUGUCCUUGAAUUUUACCUUGGGGUGCCUUGGGAAUCCCCGAGCUUAGGCUCUUUCCACUCCUUAUUCCAUAAUCCAUCAAAUCUUUACCCAAAACUUGAAAACUUCACAACACAAAACUCAACAGAAUAUCUCAUGAGCUCCGUUAGCGAAAGAAAACAAACCACCACUUCAAGGUACUGUAAUUAACUCAUUCUUUAUUUAUAUUGGUGUUAAACCUACUGUAUUCCAACUUCUAUAUGGUUCAUACUGCCCGAUACUAGCCAUAGAUUCAUUAGAAGAAGCGAACAACACACGAAAAACAGAAUCUGUCAAAAACAGAAUAGUCUGUAGUAAUAUGUAUCAAACGUAUACUUAUGGAACUCCAAGAAUUCUGAAAUAAAUUGGUGGACGUGAGGAAUUUAUCUAUUAAUCAUCUGCAAAAUGAAUCAACCUAAAAGCACUCUCCAGAAAAAAAUGGCAGCUAAUCUCGUGAGCGCUAAAGUUUAUGUUUUUUACAGCAAGAUCAUAAAGACUUAACCCAAGUCUUCCAAAGGUUCUACUUGGCACAAACACUAAUUUAAAACAUAAAACCAUAUCUAAACAGAAGCUAGAUGAAUUAUUUAUUACUAAACAGAACUAAAAAGCAAGAAAAAUAAAUAAAAUUGGGUUGCCUCCCAACAAGCGCUAUCGUUUAACGCCCCUAGCUAGGCAUAAAAGCAAGAAUAGAUCUAGGUAUUAUUAUCUUUGGUUGGCAAUUCUUCAAUAGUACACUUAUAACCCUUAGGAGUUUCCUUCUUUUUAUUAAUGAUCAAACUCCUAGGCAAGAAAUAAAAAAAUUCAUUUGUAGCAAAAGGUUCCACAAUGAUAGCGAAAAAGUUGGGGUGAACACUUAUUGAUUUGAGAUCCGCAUUUUACUUACUAGAAGAUUCACCCUUAUUUUUAGGAACAUACAUUAAUUUGGCAACUUUAGUAGUAGGAGGAUUUGAAGUAUUUUUCACGGAUGAAAAGGCAGACCCUAAAUUGGUAAUGAUAUCCUCAAGUUUACCAAUUCUUGUGGAAUCUUGAUCUAUUUUUUCGUUAACUAUAGGUUCCUUUUCUUUAAAAAAAUUCAGAGUAACUCCUCCUUAGAUCCAUAUUGAGUAAUUUGGUUGUGGAUCUUUUUGUCCAAAUUUUCAAUCAACUCUAUAGUGGCAACUUUAUUUUCAAUAAUUUCAAGCCUUUGCAUCACAUGUUCCAAAGUUAAAAUAGUUCCAUUAACCAAAAGAGGUGGUGGGCCAAACAAAUCUAUCAUAGCAUUAUACGAAUCAAAAGUAUGGCUACCCAAGAAAUUCCCUCCGGUAAUGGUAUCAAGAAUAUAUUUGUUCCAAGGAGUGAUACCUACAUAAAAAUUGCGAAGAAGAACGGAAGUAGAUUGCUUCCUAGUAGAUCUAUUCUGAGCAUUGCAAAUUCUAUGCCAAGCAUCUUUUAGAUUUUCUCCCUCCCUUUGUUUAAAAUUAAGAACUUCAUGAUCGGGAGUACUAACAAUGAUAGAAGGACUAGCCAUGACAACACAGGGCGACACAAGAAGCAAGCGAAAAAGAGGCGAACGGAAAAAGAGGGCGAAUAAAGUGGCAAAGGUGAAGUGGGGGAGAGGAAAACGAGAGGCAAAUGGCAAAUAAUGUAAUGCGAGGGAUAAGAGUUUGUGAUGGGUACUUGGUAUGACUUGACUUGACUUGACUUGGCAUAGAUCUCCCCGGCAACAGCGCCAGAAAUCCUUCUUGCUACCUCUUGAGCACUGUGUUGGUUUUCCCUUGAAGAGGAAAGGGUGAUGCAGCAAAGUAGCGUAAGUAUUUCCCUCAGUUUUUGAGAACCCAGGUAUCAAUCCAGUAGGAGACUACACGCAAGUCGCCUCGUACCUACACAAACAAAUAAUAACCUUGCAACCAACGCGAUAAAGGGGUUGUCAAUCCCUUCACGGCCACUUGCAAAAGUGAGAUCUAAUAGAAAUAAUAAGAUCAAUAUUUUUGGUAUUUUUUAUGAUAUAGAUUGAAAGUAAAGAUUGCAAAGUAAAAUAGAUUGGAAACUUAUAUGAUGGAAAAUAGACCCUAGGGCCAUAGGUUUCACUAGUGGCUUCUCUCAAGAUAGCAUAAGUAUUACGGUGGGUGAACAAAUUACUGUCGAGCAAUUGAUAGAAAAGUGCAUAAUUAUGAGAAUAUCUAGGUAUUAACAUGUAUAUAGGCAUCACGUCCGUGACAAGUAGACCGAAACGAUUCUGCAUCUACUACUAUUACUCCACACAUCGACCGCUAUCUAGCAUGCAUCUAGAGUAUUAAGUUCAGAAGAACAGAGUAACACAUUAGGCAAGAUGACAUGAUGUAGAGGGAUAAACUCAAGCAAUAUGAUAUAAACCCCAUCUUUUUAUCCUCGAUGGCAACAAUACAAUGUGUGCCUUGCUGCCCCUGUUGUCACUGGGAAAGGACACCGCAAGAUUGAACCCAAAGCUAAGCACUUCUCCCGUUGGAAGAAUGAUCAAUCUAAUAGGCCAAACCAAACUGAUAAUUCAAAGAGACUUGCAAAGAUAAAAAAUCAUACAUAAAAGAAUUCAGAGGAGAUUCAAAUAUUGUUCAUAGAUAAUCUUGAUCAUAAACCCACAAUUCAUCGGAUCUCGACAAACACACCGCAAAAAGAAUUACAUCGAAUAGAUCUCCAAGAAGAUCGAGGAGAACUUUGUAUUGAGAUCCAAAGAGAGAGAAGAAGACAUCUAGCUAAUAACUAUGGACCUGAAGGUCUGUGGUAAACUACUCACACAUCAUCGAAGAGGCUAUGGUGUUGAUGUAGAAGCCCUCCGUGAUCAAUUCCCCCUCCGGUGGAGCGCCGAAAAAGGCCCCAAGAUGGGAUCUCACAGGUACAGAAGGUUGUGGCGGUGGAAAUAGGGUUUCGUGGUGCUCUCGGAUGUUUUCGGGGUAUAUGAGAAUAUAUAGGCGAAAGAAGUCGGUCAGGGGAGCCACGAGGGGCCCACGAGGGUGGGGGCGCGCCUACCCCCUGGGCGCGCCUCCCUGCCUCGUGGCUGCCUUGUUUCUUUCUUGACGUCCACUCCAAGUCCCCUGGAUUGUUCUUGUUCCAAAAAUCACUCUCCCGAAGGUUUCAUUCUGUUUGGAUUCCGUUUGAUAUUCCUUUUCUGCGAAACACUGAAAUAGGCAAAAAAACAGCAAUUUGCACUGGGCCUUUGGUUAGUAGGUUAGUCCCAAAAAUAAUAUGAAGUGUAUAAUAAAGCCCAUUAAACAUCCAAAACAGAUAAUAUAAUAGAAUGGAACAAUCAAAAAUCAUAGAUACGUUGUAGACGUAUCAAUUAUAUUUCAACUCAUGCCGUUCCGGGAUGCUUAUGAGUUGUGGACAAAGCUUCAAGAUAAAUAUGGCGUGUCCAAGAUUUGUGGGGAUGAUUGUUCUCCCUCCACCUCUGGCCGUAUUAUGUUCUCAACUUCUUCUACUUCACCUACAUGUGGUUUUCCACAAGGUAAUGAAAUGAUGAGUAGUGUUGGUCAUUGCAAUGAUGAUAGUAUGCUUAUUGUGGAUGAUCCUUCAUCACUAUCCUAUUGCAAUGCAUCUUCUUUGCACUUUAACACUUCGAGCACCCUACAUGUUUCUCAUGCUUGUGUUGAUAGUCCGUGCAUAUCUUGUAGAAAUUGCUUGACUAAAUCUCAUGAUGAUAUGCUUGAUAUAUCUUGUUGCCAUGAUAAAAAUGCUUGUAUUUCCUCGAGUUGUUGUGCUAACAAUGUAGAGGAAACCCAACACUCCAUGAAACAAGAUGUGGUUUUAAAUGGUGCUUCAAGGGAUCCUACAUCAUCUUCUAUUGCGGUUUGCCUUAUGACCAAGGCUUCAAAGGUAUCUCCUACCUUGAAUCCCAAUAUGUCUCUUGUUGAUGAUGUUGAUGCUAAUAAUGAUGAGGAUAAUGAUGAAGAGAAUGAUAAUGUUGCCUCCUUUAAAAUUAAGGGGGAAAUGAUUUUUAAAGCUCUUCAUAAGAAUAAAAUUGGUCGUUCCAACUUCAUGGAAAUCAUGUCUAUUUCUAUUGAGAGCAAAAAAUAUAGAGGAGUUGGAAUCUCAUCUAGAGGAGCUUGAGGUCACCAUUGAAAAAAUGGAAUGUCAUGAGCGUGAUUACGCUAAUGAGAUUGCGGACCUCUCUCAAGCUCUUGAACUUGAACAAACCACCAAGGAAUCUCUCGAUGAGACUUUUGCUCUAGAAUUAUCUAGAGUGAAGGAAUCUCAUGAUAGAGCUCCUGAGGUGGCCAAUGAUUUUGAAACUAAAAAUGAGAAGCUUGAAGUUGUGCAUGCUAAACUUCUUGAGGACUUUGGGCACCUUGAAAAUGGCUCAAGUGUCAUUAAGAGUGAGCUCAUCAAACUCAUCGAGUCUCAUGCACAACUUAAAGCUUCAUAUUCAAAAGAGCUUGCCAAGUUGCCUUCUCCUCUUGCUAUUAUUGAUGAUGCUUGUGCUACUAACUCUAUUACUUGUGAAGCAUCCAUUUUGAAGGAGAAUGUUGAGCUUCAGGCUCAACUUGAGUUGCUAUCUAGCAAUUAUGGGAAAUUGGAAGAAAGCCAUGAAAAGCUCUCAAGCUCUCAUGAUGAUCUUCUGGUAUCCCAUAAUGUGCUAAAGAUAGCUCAUGAGGCCAUGAUUGCUAAGGUAACAUCUAGUGAUCCUCAUGUGGAUACUAGCACUACUUUUAGUCAAAAUGCUAUAUUGCCUUGUGCUAGUCCUCGUAAUUCAUCUAUGCAUAACAUUGGCACAUCUUGUGAUGAAUUGCUUUCCUUGCCUUGUUGCUCUAACGAUGAAGCUUAUACUUCCUCUAGUGCUCAAGGCCCAAGUCACUUCUUUGAAGAAAGACUUGGAAAAGUGUCAUGAAGGGAAAUCCACACUCAACAAUAUCUUGAGUGUGCAAAAAUCCCCCAAUGACAAAGGUGGACUUGGAUUCAACUCCAAUAAGAAGAAGAAGUCCAAGAUGAACAAGAAUAAGGGCCAAGAACAAGUCAAGAAUUCAGCCAAGAUUAUUUGCUUCAAGUGCAAAAUUGAAGGGCAUCAUGUUAGAUCUUGCCCAUUGAAGAAGAAGGCCAUUAGUGACAAGCAACAAGGGAAGCGGCCACAAGUUCAAUCUCAUACUCAACCACAAGUUGAAGAAGGGCCUCUUCCCAAGAAUACUCAAGCUAAUGCUUCUCAAGUUGAGAACUCAAGUGAGAAGAAAGUGAAGAGUAGACAUUGCUACUUAUGUUGUGAGAAAGGUCACCUCGCUUCUUCAUGCACUAGUGGUAACACAUCCAACCCAAUUAUUAUUGAUGAUAUCUAUUCUCUUGGGAAGGAUAAGGUUGGCAAUGUGUUUGCCAAGUUUGUUGGUACUCAAAGUGGUGUCAAGCAAAGAACCAUUUGGGUAGCCAAGCCUAUUGUGACUAACCUCUUAGGACCCAACUUGGUUGGGAACCAACUAGCUCAAACUUGAUCAAUAGGUGUCUACGGAGGGCAUUGAAGACUUGGCUACAUUAUGAAGAAUUAAGGGGAUUUUCAUCAUUCAUAUUGUCUCAAGCCAAGUCAUUCGGAUUAUCAAGUUUCUAUCUUAUAUCCAAUGUUCCUCCUUGCGGUAACUCAUGCUUAAAGUGUUUACAUUGAUAGUUACUUGCCCCUUUGCAUGUUUGGUUUCGUUCCUUGCAUGUGUUUGUAUAUGUUGUGCUUCCAACUUGAUUAUCUUGAGAAAUCAAGUAUGUGUGUGUUGGUUUGCACAUCAUGUACGUGUGUGUCAUGCAUUGAAGCUUUUGCAUCUUGUUUAUAUCUUAAUUGGCUCGUGUGAGAGAUUAAUGGAACAUCCCAUUUUGGGGGAGUGAUGUGCUUUGUGCACCUCACGGACCCACAAAUGUGUGUACAUGAGGAAUACCACCUAGUAUUGAUAUUGCAAGCUUAUCUAGUCACUAUGUGGUAUGUCUUCUCAUGAGAAAUUCAAAUUCUAAAUAGUCCAUUAAUUAUCUCUUGUUGUAUCCUCUUAUUGCCUCUUGUUAAGUUUUUAUUGGUAUCACAUUAUGGGGGAGUAAUAUGCUAUGUGCAUAUUACAAGCCUAGAAAAUGUGUACAUUUGAGAUAUUGUCACCUAGAAUUGAUAUUGUAAAUUAUCUUGUUCCUAGGUGGCAUGUUAGCUCUACAAGUUGCAAUUUGCUUGUGUUUGGUGUGAAGAUGAUGUUGGAUAUCCUUGCUAUCUACCAACGGAAUUAUUUCCAAAUACUUCUUGUCUUUUGACAAUUUGUACUCACUUAUGUGUGGUAGAAAUUAUUGAUUCUCUUUACAUUGGCCUUUGCUUUUAUUUGCCUUAUCUCUUGCCUAGGAUUGUGUCAACUCCCAUUGAAUUCCAUACCACUUGUGGAUCUUGUUAUUUCCUUGAGAUUGUCUAGUGUUUGUAUAGACAUAGUUAAAGUGGUGAUCCCAUCUUGUGCUUUUUGUAUUCAAAUGCAAAUUCUCUAUAAUGCACAAUUCUUGGGGGAGCUAUCCUAUUUUUCUUAGAACGCUCACCUUGUGAUCCUUGUCAAGUGUGUGUUGGUGGAAUGCAAACCGUUUCUUUUUGGUACUUGUGCCAUCAUGAAACUUUAUAGAGCACUUGGUUUGUCUGGAACCAUUCUCUCUUUUGGGAGUUUGACAUCAUUCUUUUUGAGUGUGCUAAUGGAUAUCUCAUUCCUUGAUGUAUCGGUUAAUGAUAUCUUCCCAGUGAUGGUUUCUCCUUUUGGUAUCCUUUUCACUUGGUAUUCCUUUUUCAUUUGGUGUUGGUUCUUGAAAGUCUUUAGCAUGCAUAUUUACUUCAUGUAUUUUCUUUGGCAUGCUUUCUUUCCAUGUCCCAAUAUAUAGGGGAAACUCCACCAAGUCUCAAAUUGGAUGAGAUGUGCAUGAAAUUCAUGUCCAUAUCUAUAUGCACAUAUUUAUGUGGAGUUCGUCCUAUGUAUAUUGGUGUUUCUAACCCUUUGGUCCCAAUGAGUUUGGGUACCAUUUUGUUUGUGUUAUGGGUCUAGGAACAAUUGGAGAUGCAUUGGAUGCUCGGCUCACUCACAAGGGAGGUGGUGUCACCAUGUGCUUAUUGGAGUCAGGCUAGGAUGCUCAAUGAACUACUAUCUACUACCUUCAAUUGGUUUCUACUACAUCCUUCCAAUGUUAACUCGAUAACAAAUAUCUUCAUAUACUUCAUGCACACAUUUCUUGCUUCAACCUUUUUUAGGUUGCAUCUUGGCAUGAUAUUCAUUCCAUCUUGUGAUACUUGUUUCCUUUCUGAAAGAAUCUCAACGAUGAUCUCAUGUUGCUAGUUGUGAUGUCUUUAAUGGUUGUGUGGUAGGAAUUCAUUUAUAUACAAUAAGACCAUAUCUAGCCAUGUGCUAUGCUUCCAAGCAAAUAUCUUAUUGGUAUAUGUAUGACUUCCUUUUGGAUAUCUUCUUCCUUCGUGUUGUAACUAGUUCGGAUGUACAUCCUUCUUUGUAGAUAUAUAUCAUCAUGAUUUCGUCUACCUAGAACCUUAUACACUUGAGAGAAAUUACAUCUCUAGAUGAUAUCCUUUCUUUCACGUCCACCUUGUCUUUCUUAUGUUAUUUCUUUGGUGGCUCCAUGAAAGCUUUUGCCUUGAGUGCGUGUCUUAUCUCGUUGCAUCUUGAUGCACUCUUGUGUGGUGAAGAUUAUUUUCCUCAUGCUUGUCCUUAUGAGGCUUUUGCCAUCUUAAUUGGUAUCCCUUGUCUUGAUGAGGCUUUCUUCUUCUAUCUUCACCAUGGAUUGUCGCAAACUUUGUUGUUUUGUUUUCAGUGAGCUUGUGAACCCAUUUGCUAGUUGGGUGUGUGUGUGAAGGAAUGUCAUGCACCGUGUAUCUCAUUUAUCCAAGACUAUGUUCAUGCUUAAUGCUCAUCCUUAUUUUAGUCUUCUCAAGUGCUUUGCCAUGACUCACACACAUCAUUUUGGUUGAGCCUAUUCUUAAGUUGCCUCUUUUACAUGUUGCUCAACCAUGUGUUUGUUGCAAGUGCUAGGCUUUGUUUCCUAUAUGCUCACUUACACUUGUUGUGAGUUUCUAUUGAUUUUGGGGGAGCUAUGAUCCUAUUCUGUGCACUUUGUAUCCUAAUUCAAAAAUUCUUAUGUGUGCACAAAUCAUGGGGAGAUUCUCUAGUUUCUUUAGAUCACUCCUUUGCUCAUAUCAUAAUAUCCUUUAUUCAUGUGUCUCGUAGGAUCUUUGGUCUAGUUGGUUCAAUUGGUAUCUUUUGAUAGCUUGCUUCAAUUGGUAUCUUUUGAUUGCUUGAUUGCUUGUUUCUCUCUUUGGUAUGUCUUUGUGGCAUAUCUUUCUUUUGCAAUCUUUGAGCCUCAAUAAAGUUUGUCUUCCUCCAAGUAUUUACCGUUGGAUAUGUGUAUUGCAUUCCACUCUCUUGUGGAGAAAUACACAAUUUAUGGAGAAACACAAUUUAUAUUGGCCUUCUAAGCUUUUCUCCCAUUUUGGCAAUCGAUGCCAAUGGGGGAGAAGUUUCAGAGAGUUUUGUGCAGAAGUUUAGAGAGUCAUCUUUUCUUGCUAUGGUUGUGUUCCCAAGCGUUUGCAUGUCUUAUGCAUGCGUUAUUGGUUGUUGCAUUGCAUGGUGAUGCAUAAUUCCUUAUAUAAACUCUCUUGAAAGCGAUUGUCAUCAGUUACCGAAAUGGGGAGAUUGAAAGAACAUGUGGUGCCCCCAUGUUUGGUUUUGGUAAUUAAUGACAAUCUCUAUGGACUAAUGGUUGCCUUGAAUUAUAUUUGAAGGAUUUUUUCAUAGGCAUUUCUUGAAGUCCAUGUGUUGGUUUCAAGGAGUUUAUGAGUUGACCAAGGUGCUAUUAAGGAAUUAUUCUAAGAUUGGUCAUGUGAGUGUUGAGCUUAUUGCAAGCAUGUCUUGAAGAAGAAGAUUGUGUGAUCAUUCAUGUUUACCUUCAAGACAUCAUCCAAAUGAACAGAGUUGGAAAGAUUCAAGGUUGAUCAAGACUAAGUCAAGAAUGAAUCAAGUUGAUCAACUCACAAAGCAUAGGAGAUGUACCGAGAGGGAUCAAGUGAUCCCAUGGUAUGGUAAGUGAUACGUCUCCAACGUAUCUAUAAUUUUUGAUUGUUCCAUGCUAUAUUAUAUUAUGUUUUGGACAUUAUUGGGCUUUAUUAUACACUUUUAUAUUUAUUUUGGGACUAACCUAUUAACCGGAGGCCCAGCCCAGAAUUGUUGUUUUUCCCUAUUUCAGAGUUUCGCAGAAAAAGAAUAUCAAACGGAGUCCAAACGGAAUGAAACCUUCGGGAACGUGAUUUUCGGAACGAACGUGAUCCAGAGGACUUGGACCCUACGUCAAGACAUCAACCAGGAGGGCACGAGGUAGGGGGCGCGCCUACCCCCCAGGGCGCGCCCUCCACCCUCGUGGGCCCCCUGUUGCUCCACCGAUGUACUCCUUCCUCCUAUAUAUACCUACGUACACCCAAACUACCAGAUACGGAGCCAAAAACCUAAUUCCACCGCCGCAACCUUCUGUACCCGUGAGGUCCCAUCUUGGGGCCUGUUCCGGAGCUCCGCCGGAGGGGGCAUCGAUCACGGAGGGCUUCUACAUCAACACCAUAGCCUCUCCGAUGACGUGUGAGUAGUUUACCUCAAACCUUCGGGUCCAUAGUUAUUAGCUAGAUGGCUUCUUCUCUCUUUAUGGAUCUCAAUACAAUGUUCUCCCCCUCUCUUGUGGAGAUCCAUUCGAUGUAAUCUUCUUUUGCGGUGUGUUUGUUGAGACCGAUGAAUCGUGGGUUUAUGAUCAAGAUUAUCUAUGAACAAUAUUUGAAUCUUCUCUGAAUUCUUUUAUGUAUGAUUGGUUAUCUUUGCAAGGCUCUUCGAAUUAUCAGUUUGGUUUGGCCUACUAGAUUGAUUUUUCUUGCAAUAGGAGAAGUGCUUAGCUUUGGGUUCAAUCUUGCGGUGUCCUUUCCCAGUGACAGUAGGGGCAGCAAGGCACGUAUUGUAUUGUUGCCAUCGAGGAUAACAAGAUGGGGUUUAUAUCAUAUUGCAUGAGUUUAUCCCUCUACAUCAUGUCAUCUUGCUUAAAGCGUUACUCUAUUCUUAUGAACUUAAUACUCUAGAUGCAUGCUGGAUAGCGGUCGAUGUGUGGAGUAAUAGUAGUAGAUGCAGGCAGGAGUUGGUCUACUUGUCUCGGACGUGAUGCCUAUAUACAUGAUCAUACCUAGAUAUUCUCAUAACUAUGCUCAAUUCUGUCAAUUGCUCAACAGUAAUUUGUUCACCCACCGUAAAUACUUAUGCUCUUGAGAGAAGCCACUAGUGAAACCUAUGGCCCCCGAGUCUAUUUUCCAUAAUAUUAAUCUUCCAACACUUAGUUAUUUUUAUUGCCUUUUAUUUUACUUUGCAUCUUUAUCAUAAAAAAUACCAAAAAUAUCAUCUUAUCAUAUCUAUCAGAUCUCACUCUCGUAAGUGACCGUGUAGGGAUUGACAACCCCUUAUCGCAUUGGUUGCGAGGAUUUAUUUGUUUGUGUUGGUGCGAGGGACUCGUGCGUAGCCUCCUACUGGAUUGAUACCUUGGUUCUCAAAAACUGAGGGAAAUACUUAUGCUACUUUGCUGCAUCACCCUUUCCUCUUCAAGGGAAAACCAACGCAGUGCUGAAGAAGUAGCAGUAAGAAUUGGCCAUUGCGCUUUGUGUACUAACCCAUGGUCUAUGUGAGAGUUCUAUGUGUGGUUAGGUACGUGUUCAUGGGCUUCCGUCAAGAGGAAGAUAUCACUCAACCCAUGGAGAGAAUGACAUCAAGUGGUGAUCGUCAUCAAGAUUGUCGUGUGCAAGUUCAAGUGGAGCAUCACGAAGAGAUCAAGUGCUUGAAGCUUGACAUCCACUGUGGUGUCAAUGUUGUCAGAGUAAAUGGCCACGGGUAGCCUAACCGACUGCCCCUGGCUCUUUCAAAAAAUUAUCAGGCCUUUGGGCCUUCAAGCAUUUUAAGCAUUGGGCCGCCUUCCCUAGCCGGCAACCAUUGAAGCCGACUCCCUGAAGGCGACCCAGCCUCAGCAACCUCCCCUCCAAGAUAACCACGGGGUGGCCGACUCCAGGGAGCCGGCCAAAGAGGAUGCCGACUCCCCAGAGCCGGCCAUGAAGAACGCCGACUCCAAGAAGCCGGCCAAGACCGCAACCACCAAGACUACACCCACAUAACGGUGACAAGACGGGGUGUGGCCACAGUGCGGCCCACUACCCCCGAAGCCCGAGGCAGGCAUGGCCACAGGACGCCGUACGGGACGGCCAUCCCCCGUUCGGCUCGGCACUGUAGCCAUGCUAACCUCGACGUCACCCACGACAGACUCCCGUACGGCCCACGGGAGGCGGGCCCCUUUAGACAGAGAGAGGCAUGAAGGCGGCCCGGCUCUCCCCCAGUCGGCCAAGGGCGUAGCCGGCCCCCAAGGGUCGGCUACCCCCUUCCUCGAAGCAUGCGCCACAUUAAGGAGACAAGACGAGGUAAGGCUACAGUGAGAGUCCUCGAGGCGGCCCACUGUAGCCACGCUUACCCCGACAAAGCCCUCGUCAUCAGAGGCGAGGCAACAGUAAGCAGCCGCCGACAAGACCCAAGGCGGUGGGGCCGGCCUGUCGACCAAGAGGCCGGCAGCCGGCGGGACCCACCAGUCGGCGGGCCCCAAUGGCCGGCGGAGAAGCCGGCGAGCAUAGACACUGACGGCUGGGACCAGUGCCCAGCCGGAUUACAAUUGUACCCCCAGGGGGUAGGCCUAUAUAAACCCACCGGAGCACCCAUGCAAAGGGUUGGCUUCUAAGCAUAGCACACACACCAUAGAGAGAGAGAAGUGAGAGCUAGCCUUGUUCUUCUUCUCCCUUGAACCCAACAGCUCUAGGAGCGAUUGUAGCUACUUUUACCGAUCUAGUGAUCAUGCGGAGACCCCGCAGAGCAGGACUAGGGGUGUUAUCUCCUCGGAGAGCCCCGAACCUGGGUAAGAUCCGCCGGCGUGCAUGUCUUCGCCUCAUCCCAUUUCCAGGCACCGGCGACGUCUUAUUGGCACCCACAAUGAUAAGCCACCCGUUGGCAUAUGUCGCACCAACCACCCGACAAAUGUACUUGUGAAGAUGUGCCGAAGAGUGGCUCACUGAUACGUCUCCAACGUAUCUAUAAUUUAUGAAGUAUUCGUGCUAUUAAUUUAUCCGUCUUGGAUGUUUAUGGGCUUUAUUAUGCACUUUUAUAUUACUUUUGGGACUAACCUAUUGACCCAGAGCCCAGUGCCAGUUUCUGUUUUUUCCCUUGUUUCAGUGUUUCGAAGAAAAGGAAUAUCAAACGGAGUCCAAACGGAAUGAAACCUUUGGGAAAGUUAUUUUUGGAAAGAAAGCAAUCCGGGAGACUUGGAGUGCACAUCAGGGGAUCAACGAGGAAGGCACGAGGCAGGGGGGCGCGCCCACCCCCUGGGCGCGCCCUCCACCCUCGUGGGCCCCUCGUGGCUCCCCUGACGUAUUUCUUCCUCCUAUAUAUACCAAUAUACCCUAAAACCAUAGGGGAACAGAAGAGAUCCGGAGUUCCGCCGCCGCAAGCCUCUGUAGCCACCAAAAACCAAUCGGGACCCUGUUACGGCACCCUGCCGGAGGGGGGAUCCCUCACCGGUGGCCAUCUUCAUCAUCCCGGCGCUCUCCAUGACGAGGCGGGAGUAGUUCACCCUCGGGGCUGAGGGUAUGUACCAGUAGCUAUGUGUUUGAUCUCUCUCUCUCGUGUUCUUGAGGUGAUACGAUCUUGAUGUAUUGCGAGCUUUGCUAUUAUAGUUGGAUCUUAUGAUGUUUUCCCUUUGAAGUUAUCUUAUCGGAUUGAGUCUUUAAUGAUUUGAGAACACUUGAUGUAUGUCUUGCGUGGGAUAACCGUGGUGACAAUGGGUUAUUCAAUGGGCUGGGAGCCGAUGAGCUCCCCUACAUGACGAGACGGAUCCAGCAGCUGAUCGACGCGGCUGCAGAACGACACGAAGCCGGCGCCCGUGCUGAUAGCCAUCCCCCGCGCCGGGAGCACGCCGCGACGUCCCGCUCACCGACUGCGAGCGGCACUCGCCAGAAGAAAGACAAGGAGCCGGCUGCCAGCCGCAGCCGGACUAGCAUCACCAUCGAGCGCGUUGCGGAGGGCCGCCCUCGAGCGGUGGAACACCAAGGGAAUCUGCCUCCUCCCCCGCCUCGAAGAGAAAGACGUCUCACCCCGCCGCCUAUCACGCACCCGACUCUUGGCGACCGACUCGGCCGCCGAGAAGGAGUCGGCAAGAACGACGCCCGCCACCGGAUCGACCGCCUUGCUCCCCGCAUCCACGACGAGCCCUUCCCCAACGGGUUCUCGCUCCCCAGAGACACGCCCAAGUACAACGGCUCUGUGAAGCCGGAAGAUUGGCUCAUCGACUACUCCACGGCCGUCAGCAUAGCCAACGGCAAUCGGCGCGUCGCCGUGAAGUAUGUCCCCCUCAUGCUGCAAGGUACGGCGCGCAAAUGGCUCAACAGCCUCAAGCCCUACAGCAUCAACAGUUGGCUGGACUUCACAUAAGUCUUCGUCCGCAACUUCACCAGCACCUACAAGCGGCCUCCCAAGCCUCGCCAGCUCUCCCUCUGCGUCCAAGGGCCCAACGAGUCGACCCGCGACUACCUCACGCGGUGGGCCGAGCUCCGCAACUCCUGCGAGGGGGUGCAUGAGGUCCAGGCCAUCGAAUACUUCACCGCCGGGUGCCGAGAAGGCACCCUCCUCAAGCACCGACUCCUCUGCGACGAGCCGGCUACCCUCGACGAGUUACUGGUGAUCGCGGACAAGUACGCCACGGCUGACUCAUCCAUGAAGACCGAGCUCCGAGUGGACGCCUCGGGGAAAGUGAUCACUCCGGCUCCCAAAACGCCGGCUGGUCGAUCACAAGCGCAAGGCCCCCAUGCCGACUUCCACCAGUCGGCAGGUGGCCACCGUUGAAGACGAGCAGCCCGAAGAACGGCCCGCUCCCAAGAAGAAGGGUGGCAGGCCGCCCUGGCAGCCCGCUUUCUCCUACGAGCAGGCUCUUGAUGCCCCCUGCAAAUUCCACAGCGGCGCGAAGCCGUCCAACCACACAACCUGGAAAUGCCAUUGGCUCACCCGCAUCACCAAGGGCGAAGGGAUGUUGCCACCUCCGCCUCCCGGACCACCGCCUCCAGCCCCCCAGCAGCCGGCGGCUCGGCCGGCAGUCGGCGCCAUCCAAGACGAAUUCCCCGAAGAGCACGCCGCCUACGUCGUCUUCACCAGUCAAGCCGACGACAAGCGCAGUCGGCGCCGACAACACCAAGAAGUUAAUGCAGUCGCCACCAGCGCCCCGAGUUCAUGCACUGGUCAGAGAAGCCAAUCAGCUGGAGCCAGGCCGACCAUCCAGAGGUGAUGUCGUCUCCUGACUCCUAUGCGAUGGUCUUGGAUGUCACCCUCGCGACGGAGAGGCGAGCUGCCCGAUUCUCCCGAGUCCUGAUAGAUGGCGGAAGCAGUAUCAACAUACUGUACCGCGAUACCAUGGAGAAGCUGAACAUCAAAGCGAAGCAGCUCAUGCCGAGCCGCACCGUCUUCCAUGGUAUCGUCCCCGGCCUAUCUUGCUCCCCAAUCGGCAAGAUUAAAAUGGAUGUUCUCUUCGGAGACAAAGAUCAUUUUCGCCGAGAAGCCAUCUGGUUCGAGGUAGUGGAUUUGGAGAGCCCCUAUCAUGCUCUGCUUGGCUGACCUGCUCUGGCCAAGUUCAUGGCUGUGCCCCACUACGCUUACCUGAAGAUGAAGAUGCCGAGCUCGAAGGGGAUCAUCACGGUAGCCGGCGAUUACAAGAAGUCCAUCGAGUGUGCCAUGGCCAGCAGCCGGCUGGCCGAGUCCCUCGUGAUGGCAGAAGAGAAGAAGAUGCUGGAACGGGUUGUGGCCAUGGCCGGCAAGCAGCCGGCCUUGUCCCCCAACCCCAAAGAUUGUGAUGCGCAGGGCUCCUUCCAGCUUGCCAAAGAGACAAAGAAGAUACCUCUGGACCCGGAGAACUCGGAGAGGUUCGCAGUCAUUGGGGCAAACUUGGACAGUAAAUAGGAAGGCGAGCUCGUCGACUUCCUCCGUGAGAAUCGAGACAUCUUUGCAUGGUCCCCAAAGGACAUGCCGGGUGUCCCGAAGGAUUUUGCCGAGCACAAGUUACAUGUCUGAGCUGACGCGAAGCCGGUCAAGCAACCCCUCCACCGACUGUCAGAGGAGAAGCGAAGAAUUGUGGGAGAAGAGAUAGCCCGGCUCCUUGCUGCUGGCUUUAUCAUGGAAGUGUUCUUUCCAGAGUGGCUUGCCAACCCAGUUCUGGUUCUGAAGAAGAAUAACAAGUGGCGUAUGUGUAUAGACUACACCAGCCUGAACAAGGCCUGCCCAAAGGAUCCGUUUGCUCUGCCGCGGAUUGACCAAGUGAUAGACUCCACAGCCGGAUGCGAGCUGUUAAGUUUUUUGGAUGCGUACUCAGGGUACCAUCAGAUCAAGUUGGACCCAGCUGACCGCCUGAAGACUGCCUUCAUCACACCCUUUGGAGCUUUCUGCUACCUGACUAUGACAUUCGGCUUGAAAAAUGCCGGUGCCACUUUUCAGCGUUGCAUGCAAAAAUGCCUCUUGAAACAACUCGGCAGAAAUGCCCACGUCUAUGUAGACGACAUUGUGGUGAAGACAGAGAAGCGCGGUACCCUGCUGGAAGACCUAAAAGAAACAUUUGCCAACUUGCGCCGAUUCCAAAUCAAGCUCAACCCCGAGAAGUGCGUGUUCGGAGUACCAGCCGGCCAGCUGCUAGGCUUCCUGGUCUCCGAACGCGGCAUCGAGUGCAACCCCGUCAAGAUCAAGGCCAUCGAGAGGAUGGAGAUUCCCACCAAACUGCGAGAUGUGCAGAAGUUCACUGGCUGCUUAGCCUCCCUGAAUCAUUUCAUCAGCCGACUAGGAGAGAAGGCUCUCCCCCUGUACCGACUCAUGAAGAAGUCCACUCACUUCGAGUGGAACAACCAAGCCGACCAAGCCUUCCCUGAGUUGAAGAAAAUGCUGACCACUGCGCCCGUCCUGGCAGCGCCGACUGAGAAGGAGCCCAUGCUCCUCUACAUCGCCGCGACUAGCCGAGUCGUCAGCACUGUUGUUGCGGUCCAGCGCCCGGAAGGAGGCCGAGCCCAGCUAGUCCAGAGGCCGGUGUACUACCUCAGCGAAGUGCUAUCCAGUUCAAAGCAAAACUACCCGCACUACCAGAAGAUGUGCUAUGGGAUGUACUUCGCAGCCAAGAAAUUGAAGCCCUACUUCCAAGAGCAUCCCAUCACGGUCGUAUGCACCGCCCCGCUCGCCGAGAUCAUAAGCAGCCGGGAUGCAUCCGGCCGGGUGGCUAAAUGGGCCAUUGCGCUGGCGCCCUACACGAUCUUCUACCAACCCCGCACCGCCAUCAAGUCCCAAGCAUUGGCCGACUUCCUCGUCGACUGGGUCAAGACCCAGUACCUACCGCCGGCUCCGGACUCUACCCAUUGGCGGAUGCACUUUGACGGGUCCAAGAUGCGCACCCGCUUGGGAGCCGGCAUCGUCCUCACUUCUCCCAAAGGCGACAAGCUCAAGUACACGCUGCAGAUCCACUUCGCCGCCUCCAACAACGUGGCCGAGUACGAGGCGAUCGUACAUGGGCUCCGGCUAGCCAAAGAGCUCGGCAUACGCCGGAUCCUGUGCUACGGCGACUCAGACUUGGUGGUCCAGCAGUCGUCUGGCGACUGGGAUGCCAAGGACGCGAACAUGGCGAGCAAUCGAUUCCUCGUCCAGCAGAUCAGCGACUACUUUGAAGGGUGCGAGUUCCUUCACGUGCCAAGGGCCGACAACGACCAAGCAGAUGCCCUAGCACGGAUCGGCUCCACCCGACAAGCCAUACCGACUGGCGUCUCCCUCCACCGCCUCCUCAAGCCGUCCAUCAAGCCGUCUCCAGAAUCGGACUCCAUCUUCGUACCGCCUGCGCCAGAUACGGCCGGAUCCGACUGGAGAAACCCCGCAGGCGGCACGGGGACUUCAACAACUGGCCCGGGGACUGCCGUAGUCGCACCCAGCCCGGGGACUUUAGAACCCGGCUCGGGGACUGCAGCAGUCGGCCCGGGGACUGCAACGACACAAGAAGCGGUGGCCGACCCCAAUUCCACGCCACCCAACCCACCCACCCGAGUCAUGGUGGCUACAUUAACAGAAGAAGAAGUCACAGCUCCGUCAUGGGCCCAGCCCAUCCUCAAAUUCCUAGUCAACAGAGAGCUGCCGACUGAUGAGAUCUCGGCAAGACUAGUGCAACGACGAGCCGCAGCAUAUGCAAUAAUCAACAGAGAGCUUGUGAAGCGCAGCAUCACUGGAGUCUUCCAGCGUUGUGUCGAGCCAGAAAAAGGAGUGGCAAUCCUCAAGGACAUCCACCAAGGCGAAUGCGGCCACCACGCAGCCUCAAGAUCACUCAUGGCCAAGGCUUUCCGCCAUGGUUUCUUCUGGCCGACUGCCUUGGAGGAUGCUAAAGAAAUAGUCAAGAGCUGCAGAGGAUGCCAAGUUUUUAGUUCCAAGCAACACCUACCGGCUUCUGCACUCAAGACCAUCCCCCUCACCUGGCCCUUUGCCGUCUGGGGACUGGACAUGGUGGGCCCUUUCAAGACAGCCCGCGGCGGCUUGACACAUCUACUGGUCACUGUGGACAAGUUCACAAAGUGGAUCGAAGCAAAGCCGAUUAAGAAGCUGAAUGGGCCGACUGCCGUGACAUUCAUCACUGACAUCACUACUCGGUACGGCGUGCCGCACAGCAUCAUCACCGACAACGGCACGAACUUUGCCAAAGGAGCACUGGCUCGUUUCUGCGCGACGCAAGGCAUCCGACUGGACUUAGCGUCCGUUGCCCACCCGCAGUCAAACGGCCAGGUCGAGCGAGCAAACGGACUCAUCCUCUCCGGCAUCAAGCCCCGACUGGUUGUAACACUGGAGCGAUCGGCCGGCUGCUGGCUCAAGGAGCUGCCGGCUGUACUUUGGAGUCUGCGCACUACACCCAACAAGUCAACCGGCUUUACUCCAUUUUUCCUCGUGUACGGUGCCGAGGCUGUCAUCCCAACAGAUAUCGAGUUCGACUCGCCUCGGAUCACCAUGUACACAGAGGAGGAGGCCAUGGAAGCAAGAGAAGACGGCGUCGACCUACUGGAAGAAGGCCGGCUGUUAGCACUCAGCCGAUCCGCCAUCUACCAGCAAGGACUGCGUCGCUACUACAACCGCAAGGUCAAGCCAAGAUCCUUCCAAGAGGGCGACCUUGUGCUUCGGCUGAUCCAGCGAACAGCCGGCCAGCACAAGCUCUCGGCCCCUUGGGAAGGCCCCUUCGUCGUCAGCAAGGCACUCGGCAACGACUCCUACUACUUGAUCGACGCACAAAAACCAAGAGCACGCAAGAGAGACGACUCCGGCAAGGAGUCGGAGUGACCAUGGAACGCAAACCUCCUGAGACGAUUUUACAGUUGAAAGCAGUAUGUAUCAUGCCCCCCUUUUUGUAUUAAGUACAAACCAAGAGGCCCCACGAGCAGUACUCGGGGACUGCCUUUGUUUAUCUAUGAAUGACGAGUGUCAUAUCCACGAAUGUAUGAUUACAUUUGAUUUCUUGUCUGGCACCGGGUUCGACUAGUCGGCCCGGGGACUGGCCGCCUUGAGCUAUAUCAGAGGUUCUACCUGAAGUCAGAAAAGUAGUGUGCCGGCUCCCAAGUGCUCUCUUGUUGAAAGUCGCAGCUCGAAGAACCGACUGUCCGACUAACAAGAGGUAAGGCAGAAAGGAUGCCCACACGAAAAACGGCUAAGGACUAACGAAUCUAUAUAGCUACAAGAAGGCCUCCAAACAUGCCCGCCGGCUGUCAGAACAGCUGGCUGGCCGGCUUCCUAAAUACUUAGCUCCAAUCCAACAAAGCUAGAGUACUCGCCCUCCCAAUCGGCCAAGUACUUCUCCAGCAACAGAUUGCAAAGCAACUGUUGGACUGGGAAGGCGGCAACCAAGGGAGGACGGCAAAGGAAACAACGGAAGGAUAAAAAGCAAAGUACGAGGAAAAGCCAAAUGCAUGCAUAAGUUAUAUAUACAUAUAAAAGCCCCCAAUAGGCCGGCCAUCAACAUGGUUCGAAUACACCCCCAGUGGGUGGAAUUGUGCAGACUUAAUAGAAGUUUGGUUCCAAAAGUAACAGGACAGAAAAACAAAAGACGGCGGACUAGACUAAGGCGCGGUGCGAAGGCCGAGCUGGUCGGUGAAGGCGGCCUGGCCGGCUGAAGGAGUGGCCGCCUAGCGGGUCUCGGCUUGGCCGCCACCAGGGGCAGGCGACGCACUCGCACGAGACGUGGUGCUGGAGGCACGGUCAAGCUGAGGCUGGUCGGCUGCUCCACCAGCUGGCUCGACGUCUUCACCUUCCUCCUCCUCCUCUUCACCCUCGUCGCUGGAGUCGAUCUCCUCCGCCGAGUCUUCGCCAUCCGACGGGUUCAGCCCGAACCACUCCUCCGGCUGGGCGACACCGUUGUCGUCUACCUCGGGGGCGAAGACGCUGGUGUCGGUGUAGUCGGCGAUCGCUGAAGCCCGCCGGAUGAUAGCCGGCCGCGCCGGCUCCAGCUCCGUGUCGGCUUGCUGCCGCCAGGUAGCCAGCUGAUCCAGGCUCAGGCUGGGAUACCAGGCCUUGACGAACUCCAGCGCCCGCCUGGCGCUGGAGCGAGCCGACGAGGCCUUCCAAGCUUCAAAGCGGCCGACUGCCACCUCCAGCCAGUCGGCUGUCCGACUGGGAGUGCGAGGAAUCACUUGGCCGGGCCAGAGGGCGGCCAAGACUUCCGCCCCGGCACGCUGAAGCCGGCGAAGCAGUCGGUGCGCCGGCUGGAUGCGCGCCUGGAUUGCCAAGAGCUGCUCCUCCAGCGAACGGCCGGCGGUUGGCGAAAUCUCGAAGCCAGCCUGCCUCCGUGCCUGGCGGCGGGCCUCGAUGGUCUGGUUGGCGGCGGUAGAAUAGCCAGGAAAAUAUUCUGCGCAAGAAAGAAGAAGAAGAAGAAAAGAGCACCAAGUCAGAAAGCAAGCCAAAAGUGGCAGAUGGCAAGAAAGGACGAAGAGGUAGGCGGCUUACCGUCAACCAGAUCUUCGAUCUGACCAUAGCCAGAAAUCAGAGUUUGCCUGGCCUCAGCCCAGCCGGCCGCCUCCGUCUCGUACUCGGCCUGGAGGGCGGCUUCGCGGUCCUGCACCGCCUUCAGAGCCGCCUUGUGGCUUUCCUCCUGAUCGGCCAACUUCUUGGCCAGGCGGUCGCGUUCCUGCACCAAGGCGGCGAGCUCGGCAUCCUUGGCACGGAGGGCAGUCUGAGACUCUCCCAGCUGUGCCCUCAGACUGGCAUUGGCCGCUGCAGAGACGGCAGACAAAGAAAGAACAAUAAGAGGGAGUCGUCAAGGAAGAUCCGACCCGACUGCUCAGCAGUCGGCCCGAAUCUCGGGGACUACACCCAGUGGGUGCGCUGACGCGCCCCCACAUGAGAUAGAGAACAAAGCACGUACCUCGGCUCUCAGUAAGGUCGGCGGUCUUCUGGGUCAGCUCCCGAGCCUGGGAGUUGAAGGCGGCCGCACGAAGGUUGUGGUAGUCCUGCAAGAUAGACAGAAGAUCGAAGUAAGAACAAGAAUAGCAAAGACAAAUCCUCUAAGAAGUUCCAAGCCGCCUGCUCAGCAGCCGACUCGGAACUCGGGGACUACACCCAGUGGGUGCGCUGACGCGCCCCCACGGAAGAAAUCAGGAUCAAGAAGAAAUCAAGAUCAAGAAGAAGCAAGAUAAGAAGGCUAACCCGGAUGGCCGCCCGCGUCGCGAGGAACUCGUCGGUGUACUGCCUCAGCGCCGUAGCCUGGGCCUGGAGCUCGGUCCGGACGUCCUGCGCGGCCACGUUCAUCACGGCCGUCCCUCCGCCCGGCGUCCACCCCGAGGUAGCGCUGGCCGCCUCCGCAUCCUGGGCCGACGAGCUGGAGCCCGCGGCCGCCUGCGGCUCUGACGCGGCCUUCUGCGGCUCCGACGUAGCUCGGCGGCAUCCGGACCGCCACCUCAGUCCUCGCGGACGGCUCACCCCCCGCCGACUGCGCAGGCGGUGGUUCAGGCCGGCCGCCUUGGGCUGCCCAGUCGCCGGGGUCGGCACCGGCGCCCUCUCCAAGAUGAUGACAUCGUCGUCCCUCCCCAGUCCCGCCUGGCCGCCGCUGGCCCCUUCUGGCGAGGGCUCCAUGUCCCCCCCAGGCGCUAUGCCGCGCAGCGGAGUGACACCAAGACCUCCCCCGCCGCUGCUGCAGCUGCAGCCUCCGCCUGGGCCCUGGCCGCGGCGUCGGCGCGCGCCUUCGCCGCCUCCUCCUGCGCCGCCUGGGCGGCGGCCGCCUUCCGCGCUUCCUCCUCCUGCGCCUCCCGCGCCUCCCGCGCCUCCCGCUCCUCCCGCGCCUCCCGCGCAUUCCGCUCCGUCGCCGCCUGAAGGUCGGCACGGGGGUCCACGCGACGAGUGGUGCUCCCAUACCCCCUCGGCGACUCCACGACAGAGCCGGCAGCCGCCCGAUCAAGCGACAACGGAGUCCUGAUCGUUUGGAGAAAGAGACAAGGGUUUAGGAACCACCAGAGAAAAGAAAAAAGAGAAAAGAGCACACAAAAAUUCGAACUUACGCCGACACGGUCUGCAGUUGCUUCACCACCUUGUGGAAGCGAGCCGCCUUCGCGGCCGCCUCCUCCCGCCUGGUCGCCGCCGCCCCGCCUCUGGGCUUCUUCGACCGACUGCCGAACAAGCCCUGUGCGGCGCGACACUUCUCCCCGCCGCCUCGAGUAGGCGGUGCAGCGGAGGAACCCGCGCCGCGGCUAGAUGCCGGCUGACGACGCGGGACGACUUCGGCCUCGUCGUCGUCCGACCAGUCGUCGAAGGAGACUCCAUGCCCGGAGCCGCCUGCUUCGCCGCCGACUUGGCCGCCAGCCGGCUCGGUGUUGUCGUCCAUAGCGGCCGCCCCCAAGUCAGGGUCCUCCAGAUCGUGUUCCGUCCGGUCGGGGACGAAUCGACGCUCCGUGUCUGACCCGCCGGCCGGCCGAAGAAGAGGGCUCUGUCGAAGAACAAGCCGACCAAGUCAGAGUCGGCCAAGAGGAACUCGGCAACAGGGCUGAGAGAAAAAGAAGAGACAAGGAGAACAUACCGUAGGCGGCGGGUUGGCUCGGCUAUAUGGCUCCUUGCCGAACUGCCAAUCCACGGAGAGUUUGCAGUUCACGAGGUAGUUCACCAUAAAGGCCACCUCCUCGUGCGGCAUCUCCUUGGUACACAGCCGGCUCGGAUCGAGCUGGCCGCUCAUCUGACAGAUCAGAUGAGGACGGCUCUGGAGCGGAAGAACCGGCGCGUGACGAAGGCGGCCAGAAGGUCGGGCCCCGUCAGGCCCUCCGACUGGACCAUCACCUGCAGUCGGGCGAUGGCAGCGUUUCCAGCCGGCGUCAGCGUCAUGGCCCGGUACGACCACUGAGGCCGCCUGCCCACCGGUGGGCCGGCUACGUAAGCCGGCAGGUUGACGUAGUCGCCACGCGGGGCGAUGUUCCUGACGUAGAAAUACGACUUCUGCCACUUCUUCACCGACUGGGUCAGCGUGCUGACGGGGAAGGGGUUGUCGGCGACUGACCUCCGCGACGCGAUGAAGGCGCCAGUCUGAGCCUGCACGCCCUGCAUGCGCGUGCCCAGCUUGGACUGGAAGAGCUCCCCCCACAGCUCGAGGGUAGGGAGGACGCCGAGGUAGCCUUCGCACAUGGUGACGAAGGCCGACAGUAGCACCACCGCAUUCGGGGUGACGUGGUGCGGCUGGAGCUGAUAGAAAUCGAGCCAGGUGCGGAAGAAGGCGCUCACCGGCAGGCCAAUGCCGCGCAAGAAAUGCGAGCGGAACACCACCCGCUCGCCCUCCUGCGGCUCCGGCGUAAUUUCCGCCUCCGGUGCGAGACGAACCUCCACCUUGUCCGCGCCGGGCAGCCGCCGCGUCUGGCGGAGGAACUCCACGUGAUCCUCGUGGACGUUGGAGCCGUCCCAAUCCCCGCCAUGCUACUCCGUGGCGGGAGGCAUGGUGAAAACGAGCGCCGCGGCGGAGGAACGUACGGAGGAAGAGCGCGGCGGCGAGGCGCUGUCACAAGAAAUGGCAAGAGGAAGAAGAUGGUGGAGAAAGGAGGUGCGUGCGAGAGCCUGCCGCUCUCCCCCCUCCCCCUACUUAUAGCCUCGCGAGGUGAAGCCGGAGAGGCCUGACGUGGGGUGAGACGUGGGAUUAACUGCACCCACUCCUCCCACGCCCCGCGAUUAUUGCGCCCUAAAGGCGAGCCGAAACUGCCGCAAGGAGACGUGCGGGCGGUUUCGGGAUGUAGAGAAUCCACGCCUGGGCCCGGGCGCGGACGUGGCGGGCCCCCGCCCUGCGGCGACGUCCCGUCGCGCGCGUGGGCUGGCAGGCUUUUUGGUCACGUGGUCCGCAGGCGGCCAGCGACCGGCCCGCGGCCCGGAGCACGCACUGCCAAACUCCCGCUCUCCGACUCCGGAGUUUUCGACCAAGGCGGCACGACUAACCAGAGCCGGCUCCCAGCUGCCGGCUUGUCAAGAUAGGAAGCUGAUCGAGCUUCUCAACUCCAACCCAACCUCGAAGCCCAAUCAGCUUCGGGGACUACUUUCGGAGUAAAUGGCCACGGGUAGCCUAACCGUCUGCCCCUGGCUCUUUCAAAAAAUUAUCAGGCCUUUGGGCCUUCAAGCAUUUUAAGCAUUGGGCCGCCUUCCCUAGCCGGCAACCAUUGAAGCCGACUCCCUGAAGGCGACCCAGCCUCAGCAACCUCCCCUCCAAGAUAACCACGGGGUGGCCGACUCCAGGGAGCCGGCCAAAGAAGUGCUUAGCUUUGGGUUCAAUCUUGCGGUGUCCUUUCCCAGUGACAGUAGGGGCAGCAAGGCACGUAUUGUAUUGUUGCCAUCGAGGAUAACAAGAUGGGGUUUAUAUCAUAUUGCAUGAGUUUAUCCCUCUACAUCAUGUCAUCUUGCUUAAAGCGUUACUCUAUUCUUAUGAACUUAAUACUCUAGAUGCAUGCUGGAUAGCGGUCGAUGUGUGGAGUAAUAGUAGUAGAUGCAGGCAGGAGUUGGUCUACUUGUCUCGGACGUGAUGCCUAUAUACAUGAUCAUACCUAGAUAUUCUCAUAACUAUGCUCAAUUCUGUCAAUUGCUCAACAGUAAUUUGUUCACCCACCGUAAAUACUUAUGCUCUUGAGAGAAGCCACUAGUGAAACCUAUGGCCCCCGAGUCUAUUUUCCAUAAUAUUAAUCUUCCAACACUUAGUUAUUUUUAUUGCCUUUUAUUUUACUUUGCAUCUUUAUCAUAAAAAAUACCAAAAAUAUCAUCUUAUCAUAUCUAUCAGAUCUCACUCUCGUAAGUGACCGUGUAGGGAUUGACAACCCCUUAUCGCAUUGGUUGCGAGGAUUUAUUUGUUUGUGUUGGUGCGAGGGACUCGUGCGUAGCCUCCUACUGGAUUGAUACCUUGGUUCUCAAAAACUGAGGGAAAUACUUAUGCUACUUUGCUGCAUCACCCUUUCCUCUUCAAGGGAAAACCAACGCAGUGCUGAAGAAGUAGCAGUAAGAAUUGGCCAUUGCGCUUUGUGUACUAACCCAUGGUCUAUGUGAGAGUUCUAUGUGUGGUUAGGUACGUGUUCAUGGGCUUCCGUCAAGAGGAAGAUAUCACUCAACCCAUGGAGAGAAUGACAUCAAGUGGUGAUCGUCAUCAAGAUUGUCGUGUGCAAGUUCAAGUGGAGCAUCACGAAGAGAUCAAGUGCUUGAAGCUUGACAUCCACUGUGGUGUCAAUGUUGUCAGAGUAAAUGGCCACGGGUAGCCUAACCGACUGCCCCUGGCUCUUUCAAAAAAUUAUCAGGCCUUUGGGCCUUCAAGCAUUUUAAGCAUUGGGCCGCCUUCCCUAGCCGGCAACCAUUGAAGCCGACUCCCUGAAGGCGACCCAGCCUCAGCAACCUCCCCUCCAAGAUAACCACGGGGUGGCCGACUCCAGGGAGCCGGCCAAAGAGGAUGCCGACUCCCCAGAGCCGGCCAUGAAGAACGCCGACUCCAAGAAGCCGGCCAAGACCGCAACCACCAAGACUACACCCACAUAACGGUGACAAGACGGGGUGUGGCCACAGUGCGGCCCACUACCCCCGAAGCCCGAGGCAGGCAUGGCCACAGGACGCCGUACGGGACGGCCAUCCCCCGUUCGGCUCGGCACUGUAGCCAUGCUAACCUCGACGUCACCCACGACAGACUCCCGUACGGCCCACGGGAGGCGGGCCCCUUUAGCCAGAGAGAGGCAUGAAGGCGGCCCGGCUCUCCCCCAGUCGGCCAAGGGCGUAGCCGGCCCCCAAGGGUCGGCUACCCCCUUCCUCGAAGCAUGCGCCACAUUAAGGAGACAAGACGAGGUAAGGCUACAGUGAGAGUCCUCGAGGCGGCCCACUGUAGCCACGCUUACCCCGACAAAGCCCUCGUCAUCAGAGGCGAGGCAACAGUAAGCAGCCGCCGACAAGACCCAAGGCGGUGGGGCCGGCCUGUCGACCAAGAGGCCGGCAGCCGGCGGGACCCACCAGUCGGCGGGCCCCAAUGGCCGGCGGAGAAGCCGGCGAGCAUAGACACUGACGGCUGGGACCAGUGCCCAGCCGGAUUACAAUUGUACCCCCAGGGGGUAGGCCUAUAUAAACCCACCGGAGCACCCAUGCAAAGGGUUGGCUUCUAAGCAUAGCACACACACCAUAGAGAGAGAGAAGUGAGAGCUAGCCUUGUUCUUCUUCUCCCUUGAACCCAACAGCUCUAGGAGCGAUUGUAGCUACUUUUACCGAUCUAGUGAUCAUGCGGAGACCCCGCAGAGCAGGACUAGGGGUGUUAUCUCCUCGGAGAGCCCCGAACCUGGGUAAGAUCCGCCGGCGUGCAUGUCUUCGCCUCAUCCCAUUUCCAGGCACCGGCGACGUCUUAUUGGCACCCACAAUGAUAAGCCACCCGUUGGCAUAUGUCGCACCAACCACCCGACAAAUGUACUUGUGAAGAUGUGCCGAAGAGUGGCUCACUGAUACGUCUCCAACGUAUCUAUAAUUUAUGAAGUAUUCGUGCUAUUAAUUUAUCCGUCUUGGAUGUUUAUGGGCUUUAUUAUGCACUUUUAUAUUACUUUUGGGACUAACCUAUUGACCCAGAGCCCAGUGCCAGUUUCUGUUUUUUCCCUUGUUUCAGUGUUUCGAAGAAAAGGAAUAUCAAACGGAGUCCAAACGGAAUGAAACCUUUGGGAAAGUUAUUUUUGGAAAGAAAGCAAUCCGGGAGACUUGGAGUGCACAUCAGGGGAUCAACGAGGAAGGCACGAGGCAGGGGGGCGCGCCCACCCCCUGGGCGCGCCCUCCACCCUCGUGGGCCCCUCGUGGCUCCCCUGACGUAUUUCUUCCUCCUAUAUAUACCAAUAUACCCUAAAACCAUAGGGGAACAGAAGAGAUCCGGAGUUCCGCCGCCGCAAGCCUCUGUAGCCACCAAAAACCAAUCGGGACCCUGUUACGGCACCCUGCCGGAGGGGGGAUCCCUCACCGGUGGCCAUCUUCAUCAUCCCGGCGCUCUCCAUGACGAGGCGGGAGUAGUUCACCCUCGGGGCUGAGGGUAUGUACCAGUAGCUAUGUGUUUGAUCUCUCUCUCUCUCGUGUUCUUGAGGUGAUACGAUCUUGAUGUAUUGCGAGCUUUGCUAUUAUAGUUGGAUCUUAUGAUGUUUUCCCUUUGAAGUUAUCUUAUCGGAUUGAGUCUUUAAUGAUUUGAGAACACUUGAUGUAUGUCUUGCGUGGGAUAACCGUGGUGACAAUGGGUUAUUCUAUUGGUUCACUUGAUGUAUGUUUUGGUAAUCAACUUGCGGGUUCCGCCCAUGAACCUAUGGAUAGGGGUUGGCACAGGUUUUCGUCUUGACUCUCCGGUAGAAACUUUCGGGCACUCUUUGAGGUUCUAUGUGUUGGUUGAAUAGAUGAAUCUGAGAUUGUGUGAUGCAUAUCGUAUAAUCAUACCCACGGAUACUUGAGGUGACAUUGGAGUAUCUAGGUGACAUUAGGGUUUUGGUUGAUGUGUGUCUUAAGGUGUUAUUUUACUACGAACUCUAGGGCUGUUUGUGACACUUAUAGGAAUAGCCCAAUGGAUUGAUCGAAAAGAAUAACUUUGAGGUGGUUUCGUACCCUACCAUAAUCUCUUCGUUUGUUCUCCGCUAUUAGUGACUUUGGAGUGACUCUUUGUUGCAUGUUGAGGAUUGUUAUAUGAUCCAAUUAUGUUUUUAUUGUUGAGAGAACUUGCACUAGUGAAAGUAUGAACCCUAGGCCUUGUUUCCUAGCAUUGCAAUACCAUUUACGCUCACUUUCAUCAUUAGUUACCUUGCUGUUUUUAUAUUUUCAGAUUACAAAAACCUAUAUCUACCAUCUAUAUAGCACUUGUAUCACCAUCUCUUCGCCGAACUAGUGCACCUAUACAAUUUACCAUUGUAUUGGGUGUGUUGGGGACACAAGAGACUCUUUGUUAUUUGGUUGCAGGGUUGCUUGAGAGAGACCAUCUUCAUCCUACACCUCCCACGGAUUGAUAAACCUUAGGUCAUCCACUUGAGGGAAAUUUUCUACUGUCCUACAAACCUCUGCACUUGGAGGCCCAACAACGUCUACAAGAAGAAGGUUGUGUAGUAGACAUCAAGCAGUUUCUGGCGCCGUUGCCGGGGAGGUGAGUGCUUGAAGGUAUAUCUUUAGAUCUUGCAAUCGAAUCUUUUUGUUUCUUGUUUUAGCACUAGUUUAGUUUAUAAAAGAAAACUACAAAAAAAAUGGAAUUGAGUUUGUCUCAUACGCUUCAUCUUUUUAAUAUCUUUCGUGAGUAUGAUGAAAAGGAAAAUUGUGCCAAAGUGUUAGAAGAAGAAUGCAUUAAAAUGUUUGGCACUAAAUCUUUGAAUGAUGAGCAUGAUUGCAAUGUUGUUAGUAUGAACUCCUUGAAUAUCCAUAGUACUAAUGAUGAUUGCACUAGUCAUGAUGAAAAUAUCUCUUAUAAGGAUGUCGAUUUUUGUGGAGUGCAUUGGGUUUGCAAGUACACACCAAAUAGGGAAGAUAGAUAUUGCAAGAGGCAUAAGCAUUUAGAAACUAAAUGGUUGCAAGAAAGGCUAGAUGUUUGUGCUGAAAAUUUAAAUUUUCUUAGCCGUACUUGUGAACUUUGCAAUGAACAUGAUCAUUUCAGUAACCAAUGCAAAUUGUUUCAUGAUCGUAUCGUGUCCAAAAAUUGUGAUGACUGGAUUUCCCUAGCAUAUCAUAAUGAACAUAGUUUGAUCUUGGGUUAUGAAGAAAUGAAACGCAUAACUAAGGUUAUUCCAGAAUUUGCCCUUGAUAGAGUUCUUCAUUUUGAUCUAGAGGAAAUUUAUAUGUAUUGUGCAGUGAAUUGCAUUGAAAAUCCUUAUAUUGCCAAUUACAUAAAGAAAAGAAAGCAAAUAGAAUAUGAAGAGAACACUAAUGAAAGGGAAGAGACUUCCCAAUAUCCUCCUAUUAUUUCUUAUGAUGAAUCAGGUAACGAGGAGGAGCCUUCUAUUCAACCAAUCUCAUUAAUAAGGAGCUCCAAAAAGAGGAUUGAACCCACACAUGAUGUGGUGAAGAAGAAGAAAAGAAAAAGUAAGAGAGGUAAAAAGAUAUCUCUCCCAAAUAAUGUUGCUCCUAUUAUUGUCGUGCCUCAUGAAAAUGAAUCAAAAAUAAUUGUGGAAGAUGAUGCACUUGAUGAUGAUCUCGUUAUGCCUAUUGCUUAUUAUGAUGAUUAUGAUUGGGAAGAUAAUGAUACUUCUUAUGAUCUUGAAAAUCUUUUUGGCACUUGUUUGGAAGAAUAUGAUAAUUGUUAUACUAUUGGUGCUAUCCAUACUAUUAAUGAUGAGAGUGAUUAUGCCUAUGAUAUGAAAAGGCCCAAACUUGGGGAUGCUAUGUUUGAUGAAGAUGAUGUUUUUGAGAAUAUAUUUGCUGCAAUUAAUGUUUGUCCCAAGCUUGGGGAUGCUACGUUUAAUGAAGAUGAUAUUUUUAGCCUCCAAAGUUUUGAUAUGCAAAUUUGUUAUGAUGAUAACAUGCCUCCUAAUUAUGAUGAUUAUAAUUAUGAAAGUGGAUUUGGAGAGGUCAUGACUUUAUUUAGUAAUGAUUCCACUAUCUUGGAAGAGGUUUCAAUUGAUUAUGAUGAGAACAAAGUUGCUAGUUAUGAUGAUUAUUGUGAUGAAACUUAUGCUAUAAAAAGUAGUGAUGAUUAUAUUUAUAAAACUUGUCAUGAUUAUGAUUACCCUUUUUCUGAACAUUACUCCUUUAAUGUGGAAACAAUUUAUAGUAUUCAAGUCUCUUAUGAUACUCCCACUAUUCCGAAUGAGAAGAACUUUGCUUAUGUGGAGAGUAGUAAAGUUUCUAUGCAAGUAGAUCAUGAAAAGAAUGAUUUAGGUUCUGGUUAUAUUGUUGAAUUCAUUCAUGAUGCUACUGAAAGUUAUUAUGAGGGAGGAAUGUAUGCUUGUAGGAAUUGCAAUAAUAUCAAGUUUCCUCUCUAUGUGCUUAAAAUCUUGAAGUUAUGCUUGUUUUACCUUCCUAUGCAAGUUGAUUCUUGUUCCCAUAAGUUGUUUGCUCACAAAAUCUCUAUGCAUAGGAAGUGGGUUAGACUUAAAUGUGCUAGUCAUGCUCUUCAUGAUGCUCUCUUUAUGUUUCAAUUCUUAUCUUUUAUGUGAGCAUCAUUGAAAUCGUCAUGCCUAGCUAGGGGCGUUAAACGUUAGCGCUUGUUGGGAGGCAACCGAAUUUUAUUUUAGUUUCUUGCUUUUUGGUUCUGUUUAGGAAUAAAUAAUCCAUCUAGCCUAUGUUUAGAUGUGGUUUUAUGUUUUAAUUAGUGUUUGUGCCAAGUAAAACCUUUGGGAAGACUUGGGUAAAGUCUUUAUGAUCAUGCUGUAAAAAAACAGAAACUUUAGUGCUCACGAGAUUAGCUAAAACUUUUUACUGGAGAGUGCUAUUUAGUUGAUUCUUUUUGAAGAUGAUUACUAGACAAAUUCCUCAGGUCCACCAAUUUAUUUUAGAAUUUUUGGAGUUCCAGAAGUUUGCGUUAGUUACAGAUUACUACAGACUGUUCUGUUUUUGACAGAUUCUGUUUUUCGUGUGUUGUUUGCUUAUUUUGAUGACUCUAUGGCUAGUAAAAUAGUUUAUAAACCACAGAGAAGUUGGAAUACAGUAGGUUUAACACCAAUAUAAAUAAAUAAUGAGUUCAUUACAGUACCAAAAGUGGUGAUUUAUUUUCUUAUACUAACGGAGCUUACGAGUUUUCUGUUAAGUUUUGGGUAAAUAUUCGAUGGACUACGGAAUAAGGAGUGGAAAGAGCCUAAGCUUGGGGAUGCCCAAGGCACCCCAAGGUAAUAUUCAAGGACAAACAAGAGCCUAAGCUUGGGGAUGCCCCGGAAGGCAUCCCCUCUUUCGUCUUCGUUCAUCGGUAACUUUACUUGGAGCUAUAUUUUUAUUCACCACAUAAUAUGUGUUUUGCUUGGAGCGUCAAUUUAUUUUUUUAGUAUUUGCUUGCUGUUAUUUAGAAUAAUGUUUUUCAUCUCUAUUUUCAAUAAAUAUGUCAAGGAUAGCUUUUACCAUGGUUAUUUUGCAAGUCUACAUGUUGCUGUUUCAAAACAGAAAGUUUACCGCUGUUGCGAAAAUUCCCUAGAAAAUUCAGAAUGUGAUAAAAUGUUGAAACCUUUUGCAUAUUAAGAUAUGAUAAAUUCACUACAGUGGGAAUUUUCUUUCAUAAUUUUUGGAGCUAGGAAAGUAUGGAUCUUGCUGCAUUCUUUACAGACUGUCCUGUUUAGGCAGAUUGAUGUUAUGUUUGCAUUGUUUGCAUAUGUUUGCUUGUUUAAUGAUUCUAUUUGAGGAUAGGAGUAUUAAAUAUGCAGAGGCAUUUGGUAUGCAAUGCUGAAUACUAAUUUUAGUGAUUUGCUACAGUAGAGUAUGAUAAGGUUUUUGCAUUGGUUUAUACUAACUUAUCUCACGAGUCUUUGUUGAGUUUUGUGUGGAUGAAGCUUUUGAGAUUUAAGAAGACCGUGAUAUGAGUGGAAUUAAGGAGACACAAAAGCUCAAGCUUGGGGAUGCCCAAGGCACCCCUAGUUAAUAUUUCAAGAAGUCUCAAGCAUCUAAGUUUGGGGUUGCCCCGGUAGGCAUCCCACCUUUCUUCUUCAACAAUUAUCGGUUAGUAUCGGUUGAGCCUAAGUUUUUGCUUCUUCACAUGAUGAGUGCUAUCCUUGAAAUGCCGUUUUCUUUUGUUUUGCUUGCUGUAUGAAUACAAUACCAAGAUCUGAAAUUAUUAAAUGAGAGAGAGUCUUCACAUAGCUACAUAAUUAUUUAACUACUCAUUGAUCUUCACUUAUAUCUUUUUGGAGUAGUUUGUCAUUUACUCGUGUGCUUCACUUAUAUCCUAUGAGUAAAUGGUUGAAUGAUUUGAAUGUCAUAAAUCUGAAAUUAUAUAUGUUUCAUAUGCUUAUCCCAUGGGGAGUAAUGACUUUACAUAUAAGAAGUAGAGGUGGUAAAUUUAUUGAAGGUUAGCAAACAUUGUAUUGGUCACUUGAACAAUUCAUGAAAGAAUAUUGAAGGAAGAGAGAUUUCACAUAUAAAUAUAUUAUCUUGGACAUCUUCUAUGAUUGUGAGCCCCAUUAAUUAUUUUCAAACCUUAGCAAAUUAGUUGAAGGUGGACAAGGAAGACAACAUAAUGAGUUAUGCUUGGGUAUAUUUGUAUAGAAGUUAUAUUGUUAUGGAUCCUCUAACAUGUGGUGCUUGCUAUUUAGAAUCCUUUGCUAGCCAAAAUAUCUGUACUAAGCAGGAAUACUGCUUGUGCAUCCAGAAUCCUUGAACCAAGUUUCUUCCAUGAGUGUCCACCAUAUCUACCUAUAUGCGGUAUUUACCUGCCGUUCCAAGUAAUUUUGCAUGUGCCAAUCUCUAAAACUUCAAAUAAUAAUCUCUUUUGUAUGCCCGAAUCGCUCAUGUAGCGACUAGGGGCUAGCAGUAUCUUCCAUGCUAGGUGGGUUAUUCUCACGAUGAGUGGACUCCGCUCAUCAUUCACGAGAAAAUGGCUGGUAACUGGGAUGCCCAGUCCUAUGAUCAAAAGAUCAAAAACAAAUUCGCAAAUAAUUUAAACAAAACUCCCCCUGGAUUGUUGAAAGUUGGACGGCACCCGUUGUUUCAGACAAGCCAUGGAGUGUGAUCGUUGGUGGAGGGGGAGUAAAAUCUUUACCUUUCUGCGUGGGAACCGCCUAUGAUGUAUCUAGUAUGGAAGAUAUUGGGAACUCUUGGUCGUUAUGCUGACAAUGAAAGCAUACCUCUCAAAAUUAUUUUCAUCUCUGUUUUUGCUUCGAGCUCUGGCACCUCUGCAAAUCCCUGCCUCCCUCUGGGAAGGGCCUAUCUUUUGCUUUUAUGCAAGAGUCAGUAGUAUUCCUUCUCAUUCCAACCUACUCUUUAGUUGGCAAGAAUCAUAUGAUGGAAAGAUCUAAGCAUAUAUGGCCAUUCAAAUAUAUUUGAUCAUGAAUUAUUACUGUUGACAUUACCCUUGAGGUAAAAGGUUGGGAGGCAAAAUAUUAAGCCCCUAUCUUUCUCUGUGUUCGAUGAAUACUAUUUGUUCUAAAAAUAUGCUUUGAGUGGUAGCAAUCAUGGAAGACUAAAUGAUAGUUGAGUAUGUGGAGUUUGCUAAAUCAAAGCUCUGACAUAGACUCUUCCUGAAAAUAAGAUGAAUUGUAAUUGUUUGAUGACUGAUAACACGGUUUGUUAGUUUUCAAGAAGGUUUAUGAUCUAUACUUUAACAUGUGAAUAGCUUGUUACUUGAUCAUGAAAAGUUCUAUGAGUUGAGCUACUGUUAUGACAUAUAAUGAUGCUAGAAAAGGUGAUUGAAAUUAUCAUUGAUCAAACUUAUGAACCUGCUAGCAUUCACACUUCAUAAAUUCUUUCUUUUAUCAUUUACCUACUCGAGGUUGAGCAUGAAUUAAGCUUGGGGAUGCUGAUACGUCUCCGACGUAUCUGUAAUUUAUGAAGUAUUCAUGCUAUUAUAUUAUCCGUCUUGGAUGUUUAUGGGCUUUAUUAUGCACUUUUAUAUUACUUUUGGGACUAACCUAUUGACCCAGAGCCCAGUGCCAGUUUCUGUUUUUUCCCUUGUUUCAGUGUUUCGAAGAAAAGGAAUAUCAAACGGAGUCCAAACGGAAUGAAACCUUCGGGAAAGUUAUUUUUGGAAAGAAAGCAAUCCGGAGACUUGGAGUGCACGUCAGGGGAUCAACGAGGAAGGCACGAGGCAGGGGGCGCGCCCACCCCCCUGGGCGCGCCCUCCACCCUCGUGGGCCCCUCGUGGCUCCCCUGACGUAUUUCUUCCUCCUAUAUAUACCAAUAUACCCUAAAACCAUCGGGGAACAGAAGAGAUCGGGAGUUCCGCCGCCGCAAGCCUCUGUAGCCACCAAAAACCAAUCGGGACCCUGUUCCGGCACCCUGCUGGAGGGGGAUCCCUCACCGGUGGCCAUCUUCAUCAUCCCGGCGCUCUUCAUGGCAAGGAGGGAGUAGUUCACCCUCGGGGCUGAGGGUAUGUACCAGUAGCUAUGUGUUUGAUCUCUCUCUCUCUUGUGUUCUUGAGGUGAUACGAUCUUGAUGUAUCGCGAGCUUUGCUAUUAUAGUUGGAUCUUAUGAUGUUUAUCCCCCUCUACUCUCUUGUAAUGGAUUGAGUUUUCCCUUUGAAGUUAUCUUAUCGGAUUGAGUCUUUAAUGAUUUGAGAACACUUGAUGUAUGUCUUGCGUGGGAUAACCGUGGUGACAAUGGGUUAUUCUAUUGAUUCACUUGAUGUAUGUUUUGGUAAUCAACUUGCGGGUUCCGCCCAUGAACCUAUGCAUAGGGAUUGGCACACGUUUUCGUCUUGACUCUCCGGUAGAAACUUUGGGGCACUCUUUGAGGUUCUAUGUGUUGGUUGAAUAGAUGAAUCUGAGAUUGUGUGAUGCAUAUCGUAUAAUCAUACCCACGGAUACUCGAGGUGACAUUGGAGUAUCUAGGUGACAUUAGGGUUUUGGUCGAUGUGUGUCUUAAGGUGUUAUUUUACUAUGAACUCUAGGGCUGUUUGUGACACUUAUAGGAAUAGCCCAAUGGAUUGAUCGGAAAGAAUAACUUUGAGGUGGUUUCGUACCCUACCAUAAUCUCUUCGUUUGUUCUCCGCUAUUAGUGACUUUGGGGUGACUCUUUGUUGCAUGUUGAGGGAUAGUUAUAUGAUCCAAUUAUGUUAUUAUUGUUGGGAGAACUUGCACUAGUGAAAGUAUGAACCCUAGGCCUUGUUUCCUAGCAUUGCAAUACCGUUUACGCUCACUUUUAUCAUUAGUUACCUUGCUGUUUUUAUAUUUUCAGAUUACAAAAACCUAUAUCUACCAUCUAUAUAGCACUUGUAUCACCAUCUCUUCGCCGAACUAGUGCACCUAUACAAUUUACCAUUGUAUUGGGUGUGUUGGGGACACAAGAGACUCUUUGUUAUUUGGUUGCAGGGUUGCUUGAGAGAGACCAUCUUCAUCCUACGCCUCCCACGGAUUGAUAAAUUUUAGGUCAUCCACUUGAGGGAAAUUUGCUACUGUCCUACAAACCUCUGCACUUGGAGGCCCAACAACGCCUACAAGAAGAAGGUUGUGUAGUAGACAUCACUCACCCAUAGUGAAGUAUGGGGGAGCAAUCAUGUAGUCUUCACCGAGCCAAUGCAAUCAAGAAAGACGGUCCAACUUGAGGGAGUCAAGAUCGUCAUCAUCUAGCUCAAGUGGACCAUGUGCAAGGCAAAGGUUUGCCCUUGAUAGGUUUUCUAUUUUACCGGUCUCAUGGUGGUAGUUGGGAGACCGGGUUAUAGGAUCGAUUGCCGUACUAUCAAGGGGGGCUCUCGAUGAGUAGCUUGAUCGUAUCAUUCGUAGAGAGCUCAAAACAUUGCAUGCUUGCAUCAUCUUUCUUGGUUCUUGGUUGGUUAUCCUUGUGAGUCUUAUGGUCAUCUUGAUGACAAGCUCGAGUUCUUCAAAAACCGAUUUCUUAUGCAUCUUCUUUUGUGUUUUUGUGUUGGAGUUUUUACUGGUCUUAAUUGAGAAAGGGUUCUCACCAUUUUAUUUUGGGUAUUUUCUCUAUUGCUAUUUCUUGAUAUUAAUAUCAAGAUUGUGUUUGCUCUUGUCUUUAGCUUUCCAACAAACUUGAUUUCGUCAAAUUCGGAGCUCGUGUGUGAAAGUUGUGGCUGUUUUGAUCUUACCUGUUUCACAUAGAGAGGUUGUACCGCCCCUUUGAGAGGUUGUACCGGUUGACCGGUACAACCGGUGUUUGGAGCGGUUGUACCGCUCCAGAAUUGGUCCGAAGGUUGUACCGGCCAUGUACCGCUCUACCACUGGACUAGUUUCUGUUUUGGAGCGGUUCUUGGGCGGUUGUUGACCAGUUGUACCGGUUAGUUUAGUUUAACCAGUACUACCGGUUCCCCGGACUGUUGUACCGCUUAGGCUUUUUUCCUACAGGUUGGUUUUUCCUCUACUUUGACCGGUUGUACCGCUUCGUGCACCGGUUGUACCGGUCUUACAGUUUUCUGCACAUAACGGACAGAUUCGUGGGACCUAUAAAAGGGGGUCUUCUUCCCCAUUGAACCUUAUCCUUUGAGCUCGUGUUCUUCCCCCAUUGUUGACCUUCUUCGAGCUUGCUAUCUCUCAAUCCCUCCAUGGAUUCUUGCUAGUUUUGGGGGGAAAAGAGAGAGGAGAUCUAGAUCUACAUUUCCAUCAAUCACUUUCUCCUCUAUGUGAGGGGAACCCCUUGGAUCUAGAUGUUGGAGUUCUUGGUGUUCUCCUUCUUGUUCUUCCUCUCAUUUUUCUCCCUAGCAUUAGUUGCUUUGGUGGGAUUUGGGAGAGAAGGACUUGGGCACUCCGUGUGCCCUUGCCAUUGCAUUUGGUGCAUAGGUUUGAGUUCUCCACGGUGAUACGUGGAAGUUACAAGUUGAGAAGCUUAUUACUCUUGGGUGCUUGGUACCCUUGAGCUUGUUCCUCUUGGGUGCUUGGGCGCCCUAGACGGUUGGUGGUGUAAAGCUCCGGGCAAGCGUCGGGGUCUCCAAUUAGGUUGUGGAGAUCGCCCCGAGCAAUUUGACGGGUUUCGGUGACUGCCCCCAAGGGUUGCCAAAGUGUACGGGUUCGGUGACCGCCCCCAAGGGUUGCCAUUUGUACGGGUUCGGUGACCGCCUUCAAGGGCCCCUUAGUGGAAUCACAGCAUCUUUCAUUGUGCGAGGGCGUGGGGAGAUUACGGUGGCCCUAGUGGCUUCUUGGGGAGCAUUGUGCCUCCUCACCGCUCCAAACGGAGAUUAGCAUCCGCAAGGGUGUGAACUUCGAGAUACAUCGUCGUCUCCGCAUGCCUCGGUUAUCUCUUACCCGAGCCCUUUACUUAUGCACUUUACUUGUGAUAGCCAUAUUGUUUUUUGUCAUAUAUCUUGCUAUCACCUAGUAGUUUAUCUUGCUUAGCAUAAGUUGUUGGUGCACAUAGGUGAGCCUAGUUGUUGUAGGUUUUGUGCUUGACAAAUUAACCGUCAGGUUUAUUCCGCAUUUGUUCAAGCCUAAAUCGUAAUUAUUUUAAAGCGCCUAUUCACCCCCACCCCUCUAGGCGACAUCCACGUUCUUUCAAGUACCAAUGCCACUAUGCUUCCUUUCUUCUUAGAAAACAUUUUUUCUCUGUUUGUAAGUAAGUAUACACGCAAGUACGAUACACCGUGUGUUUAAAUUAUAGUAGAGAGCAAAAAUUGCACUGAACAUGUUUAUUUUUUGCAUACUACGAAAUGUGCAAUUUCAGGGCAAACUUGUAUACAAGUCUUUCUUUUUAUUUUCUUUCUUUUUGAAGGGUUUCAUUAUUCCAUACAAAUUUUCGUUAUUUUGUUUUUAUUUUAGUUUUUUAUUUUAUUUCUUCUUAAAGGGCUUCAUUCUUGAUUCUUCCAUAGAAAACUUCAUUAUUUAGUUUUUUAUUUUCCUUCUUCUUAAAGGUUUCAUUCUUCCCUAGAAAACUUCAUUAUUUGUUUUUCAUUUUGUUUUUUAUUUUAUUUCUUAAAGGGUUUUGCUCUUCCCUAGAAAAUUUAUCAUUUUGUUUUUGUUUCUUUUAUUUUCUUUCUUCUUAAAGGGUUUCAUUCUUCUCUAUAAAACUUCAUUAUUUUGUUUUUGUUUUAGAAAAAAAAUCAUAUUCUUUAUUUAAGGGUAAUACCAAUAUCGUUCCACUAUUAUAUGGUUAUUCUUGCAUAUUAUAAAAAAGGUAAUUUAUGUGUGAAAUGUGUGCAAAUUUUGUCAUCAUCUUCAUCUUAAGGGUAAUACCAACGCCAUUAAUUUAUUCUUUCUUAGAAAACUGCUUUUAUUUCCGUUUGUAUGUAUACACGUAAGUAUUAUACAAUAUGUGUGUAAAUUAUACUAGAUUGUGAAAAUUGCACAAUUAUAUGUUUAUUCUUUGUGUAUUACAAAUGUGCAACUUGACUGUAAAGUUGUUUGCAAGUUUUUUUUUCCUUAAAGGCAAUACCAAUGGCUCAACUACAUUUUUCUUAGAAAACUCUAUUAUUUUAUUUUUAUGUGUGUGCUUUUAUUUCUCAUGUAUGUGCUCAUAUCCAUCAAACCUGAAAAGUUCAACUCUGAACGGUGAUGUGUGUCGCCCAUAUUCAAGUUCAACUCUGAACGGUGAUGUGUGUCGCCCAUAUUCAUGCAUGACAUGCCAAACAAUUGCAUGCACGAAUAUUCCGGGCCUGAUUGAUAUAUGUGCUUGCUUCGAGUGGAACUGAACCGUUUCCACCUCUAAACAGAUUUUCUGCUACACACUUGGCUAGAAGAAAAAAACAUACGCAUGGGCUGUUCACAAAAAAAAAGCACACGCGUGCAAAUUGUACAUAAACUUUUUCUGAAAACGAAGAGAAUUGGUUGUACAAUUUCCUAACAUUUUAUGGCAGUCGAUAUAAAAUAUAGUUGACACGUGUGACUUUUAAAAAAAAUAUAGUUGAACCAUAUAAAAUGGACAAAUCAUAUAUUCCAUCCUUAUUGUAUUUUAUGCUUAUAAAAUAUUAGAUAAUUGCAUCAAAUAUGGAUGGUCGCGGCAACGCGCGCUAUCAUGAUCUCAUGUAUUGUUAUUACUAUAAGGAUUGGGCGCGCUUCGCCGUGCGGUUGGUGUUGUUAGAAUUUCAUAAAUAGAAUUGUUUUGUUUGGUGUUUGGGGGGAUAAUGAAUUGUUUCUUUUUUAUAAUACUAUAUUUUAAUUGCCUUGUUUUGGAGGUAUAAUUAUGUGUUAUCUGCAAAUUAACGCACACUUAUGCAAGGAAGUUUCUUGCAGUGUGGUGACCCCAUUUGUUAUAUUGGUGCUAUUUUGUCGCAUGUUGGUAUUUAUUAUUUGUCAGGUGAUAAGAGAGUGCGAGACUGAUGUAUUUUAUAAGCUGGUUGUCGCAGAUUGACUUAAUAAAUCAUUGACCAGUCAAAACCAUGAACCAAAUUCAACAUUGAACACCUCACUUGAAUGAGAGAGCUCCUUGAGAAAUUAUUAACCAAUUCAAAAAUUGGAAACUCAAUCCAAAAUUAUAUUGGUGCUAGAGUGUUGCAUGUUGGCAUUUUUUUGUCAGGUGAUGAGAGCAGUCGUGAGACUAGGGAUGGCAAUGGGUCGGGUUUGGACCGGGUGUAGCUGUUCCAAAUCCAACCCAUGACCCAUCUUCCAGCCCUCUACCCAUCCACCAAAGUAUCCAUGGCCAUAGCUUGUGCCCAUGCCAGAACCCGUUGGUUACCCAGGUACCCAUGGAGCUCCAUGGGCAUAGAAAAAUCACCAUGCAAUGCCUUACAAACAUAAAAUUAAUUCACUGCACUAUUCGGUUAACUCCUAGUAAAUUUGAUCUCUAAGCUGAUCUCACCUUCUCACUUGCACCUAGUUCAUAUAAAAUCUCAUACAUGUUCUAAGAGAGAGCAUCGGAUAUGGCCUUCGGUAUUGAUGGUGCUACCUUCACCUGUGCACGAAACUCCUUUGCUAGUCGACGAGCAUGCGUGCUCCUCGACAGCAUGACAAGAGACUCGGCCCUGCUCUCCCGCUGGUUGCCGCCAUCGUCGGCCACUUCACUUGAUGUUGAUCGCCUUCUCGUUCGCGCUCUGAUGAAUGAUGGGACCGUUCUUGGUGCAACCGCUGGCUCGCUACCUUGUUCACUAGAGACUAGUCGUCGAUUGGGGAAUGAGAGAGGGGGUGGGAUGAGGUCAUAGGGCUAUGGGUAGUCGCUACCUUGCCUGUCACUAAUGGUGGUCGAGAUGCGGGGUGGACGGCCAGGUAGAGAGGGAGAGGCGGCAUGGCAUGGCUCGACGGUGAUUAUGGCGUAGAGCGCUGCCACAUAUGGGAGGGCUUGGGGCAGGGGAUAGGAGUGGCAGGAGGCAGCCAGGCUAGUUUUAGGUUUAUACGUAGAGGAUUAGGAAACAUGGGAUGGGCUUUUGCAUUUUUGUGAAUGCAAGUCGUGGUUAGUCUAGUGUCACUAACAUAUGAGCUCACAUAUCAUAUGAGUAUCCAUUGAAUAUCCAUGGAGCAAAAAAUAUAACCAUGCCCAACCCAGUUGCUCGUGGGUAUCCAGAUCCAUGGAUCCGUGGGUAGAAAGGCCCUCCAUACCCUUGCCCAACCGGGCCAGGUAUCCAUGGGUACCCGGAUUUAUGGAUAAAAUUACCAUCCCUACGUGAGACAUGUAUAUUUUUAUAAGUUCGUUGUUGUCGAUUGAUUUGAGAAAUCAUUGACUAGUAAAAAUCAUCAACCAAAUUUAAAAUCGAACACCGCACUUGGAUGAAAGAGCUCCUUGAAAAAAUGCAGACCAAGUCAAACUAGAGAACCAAUCCAAAACCACAUUGUCCUCAUUUGAAUGAGAGGCCUUUAACCCUUAGGAAGCUUAGUGAUAUAGUAGAUAGACUGUAUUAUUAUUAGUUCUUAUAAUAGUUUAACGAAAGACCAUCAUGACUAAUUUAUUAAUCAUCAAACAAUUACAUCAUCCACAAGUUCGGGUAACAACGAUCUCAUGUUUCAUUGAUGCAAAACAUGUUAACUUUUCGCAGAAAAGGAAGUGUUAGCUAGCUCAGGAGCCACUUCAUUCACCCUUCUUGGACAAUGUCGAAUUCAACCUUCCCACUGAGAUAAACCAUAGUAGGCCCUGAUUGUUUGGGUUGUAGUUGAAUGAGAAGCACUUGGAGCUGCUAGAAGCUGAGAAGCAGCUGGAGCUGGUAGAAGCAGUGAAGACCAAAAAAAUGUGCCUAGCAAGUACUUUUAGGACGACCGGUGAGUCUGUAGCUAAUAGUGAAAGUUUGAAAUGCCCCUAUAUGCAAAAGAUGUUAUCUAAGCACUCAUUUGACAUGAUUUGUCUGAUCAAUAUGUAUAUAAUCUCAAAUAAUUCAUUGAACACCUAAUUUAGCUUGAAAUAAUUUAAUUUCCCAUUGCAAAGUAAUUAUAACUAAUAAAUUUUGGUAUUUUUUUGUUUAAGGAUUUCUUCCAUGACCACAUAAAACUAGUGCCGGUGUUUUUAUCUAAUGCGUGCAAUGAGGAAUUUGGUAGAGUAGAUGCACGGUGCAUAUAGGAUAGUAGACUGUUGCUGCUAGCUAACAACGAUGGCAAAUUUCAAUCCUAGGCAACAAGUUACACAAAUCUUUCGUUCUAACAUUUGACAACUCAAAAAAUUGGAAUGCCACAAAGUGAAAUCUUCAAACGCACUGAAGCUUAGGGGAAUUUGCUAGAUCCUUUGAACAUCAACAUGGCAAAAGACCGGUCUCAUCAAAUCUUCAUAUCAAAUUCCCGACACAUAGGUUUCUACCUGGAAAGUCAAUAAAGUCCAAUGUGUUCAACCCAAGGCAAUCAAGCCAAGUCCAAGGCAAAUAACUAAACUCAAAUAAAAAGAAAAUGUCAACAAGGAUGGAAAAAGCAAACGAUCCCAACACUAGAAGAGCCCAAAAGUAUCCAAGGGCCAUCAUGGGAGAGGGAUGAGAGGGAAUGGACGUAAGGCAUGUAGCGCUUGGUCCUGUACAGACCUACUGAACGUUCCUUUGAGUGCUCCGUUGACAAAGAUUUCAUUUUCAUUCGUCUUGGUCUUUGUUCUUUUGUUUUUCAAAAAAAAAAUUAUCAGAAGAAAACUAUAUAGGUUUGUUCCGACAGAGUUAAAAUAUAUUUCAUGAUUAAAAAGUGACUAGGAGUUUAGAAAAAUGUCCAUGAAGUUAAAAAAUGAGCAUAAAUUUAAAAAUGUUCCCAGAAAGUUAAAGAUUGUUCACAAAAUUUCAAAAAAAAGGGAAAUGUAAGAUGCCCGCCUUUUGUUGAAAUGUUCGUGAAUUAAAAAAGUUGCCAAAGCUAAAAUAUGUUUUCAAAUUUAGAAAAUGAUAAAAAAAAUAAACAAAAUGUAUGAGAAUAAAUCCGUAGAAAACUGAUGAAAGAGACACACCAAAGAGAAAACCCAAGAAAAAUCAUGCAUGAGAAAUAGAAGAAAACCGCUCGACUGUAUGUAAUGCUCCAUUUCUAGUUGGCUUAAUCCAAGUCGCUAUUGCUUCGUGCAUUAGGUUGACAAUUUGACGCAAUAAGCAUCAAAUAGGAUUUCUCGGCUCACUACAAACUAUGACACCUCCACCUUUGACUAGUCGACCAUGGGCCAGUGGACCAAACUUUUAUCUCAUACCCUUCACAUGUGCCACCAGUCUUGUUUCCACCUUUCUCAUAUAAUCCAUGUUGUGGCCCCAAAGUGCAAGAGUUUGCGCCAAGUGAUAACUUUCCCCUUACAUGAGAAUCAAGGUAUCAAUAGGUAGAGAUAACACCCCUAAUCUGAGUCAAACACCACUACAAAACAAAUGAAGAACUCACUUGUCCCUCCUUUUGUUCUUGUCACAAACCAAUAUCCCUCGUACCACUCAAGUUGUGGUUCAGAUAAAGAGCAAUGUUAGUAAUUAAACCACCACAACAAAUCACACCUGGUGGUUGCGCCAUCUACUAGAGGAAGUGUGUGACCAUGGGUACAACCAAGUUAGGCUUCAAGCAUCACUGUGCAUGAAGCGCGUUGUGGAGGACACGCAUCUUAGGGUUCUUCCAUUUUGCAUCACUAUUUCUUAUUAUGAACUGCUUAUAAUUAUCCAUAUUUUGCACAUUUUCAUACCAUUCUUAUGUAUUUUUUUCUUGAUUUACAUGCUUCAAAGGAGGAAGGGGAAUUGCUGGAAAACAUUAGAAAAGACCAAAAAGAAGAGCAACGAAGUCCAAGAGCUUAUAAAAAUAACUCACGGGACAAGAGUCGGGGGCAAAAAUUGGGCCAGGGAGGCACCUAUGGAUCCCACGUAGCCCCACCUGGAGGAUUGGCCCUAGGCUGCGAGCUAGGGGCGGUUGGUCCCACAUGGGAUCUUCCUACCUCCCUCCAACGACCCUAAUCCCAUUUUACCCUACAACCUAGACCUCCAAUUUAUGGGAAUUUUCUACCUCCGUCUUCGAGGUAGAAACAAAGUUGAGCAUUUUUCUCUCCCAAAAGGCUGAUCUGUGGGGUUGUUUGCCAUCACGAGGACCUUCUCCACCGGCUAUAUCGAGUCAUAGUGCCAUUGAAUUUAUUAAUAACAAUGCAACCAUACUGUAUUUAUGGGAGACCCUAAUUAUGUUCUUAGCCAUGCAUAUUUACUAAUGUUAACCCUCAGAUUUGAUUAAGUGGUAAGAGGAACCACUAACUUGUGGAGAUACUUGACCCAUUGAGCUGAAAGCUCGAUAGAGUCUCGGCGGGGAAUAUUUUACAUCAUGAGGAAAGGUGAUGAGGUCCAACCCCUCUCUCUUAAAGUACAGUAGAGCUUCAUUGGUGACAUUAUAGAAGUGUGUGAGUUAAUGGGUAAAAUAUACAAGCUCCGCAGAGUGAAAAAAUAUUUGACUAGUCAUUGUCCAUGGUCAUGGACGGAGUCGGGAUAAGUGUACAAGAAGUAAACACAUCCGAUAAACACAAAACAUUCAGGGAACCACCAAAUCAGCCAUCACAUUAUACUCGAGGAAAUCAACGAAGUAGGACAUAACAAACAAACGCCUAUCUCAUGUACUGUUCACGCAAGAACCGUACAACUACAAACUGGAACAAUUACAGUUCUUACAAGAAGUUAAACACAAGGAUAAGCACACAAAAUUCGGAGAUCAGACAAGCAAAAAAUUCACAAUUCUUUUUUCCAGGAUAAGCACAAAAAAUUCACGGAACAGCAAGCAAAAAUCAUCAACCUGUAACUGCCCGUUCACCAACUCCAUGACGUCAAACUCGAGGAUAGGCUUGAAUGCCCAGCUUUUUACAGAAAGCUUAAAGCAAUACAGAUCAAGAACGAGGAAAGAUACACAGGCGAGACUAGCUUAAGACAAUAAAAGUAGUUCAUCAGGCCAAACUUGAGACAAUCAAUAAAGUUCAUGACCAAUUUCACCAGAAAAUUAGUCCAGCACGCCAAACUUCAGGAGAUCAACAAGGUUUCAUGACCAAUUUCAGCACCAAAUCAGUUCAUCAUCUGCCAAAUUCGAGGAAAUCAACAGAAUUUCAUGACCAAUUUCACCGCCAAAGCAAGUUCAUCAUAUGCCGUACUAGAGGAAAUUUGACAGAGUUCGCGACCAACUUCACCACCUACUCGAUCCAAGACGAUCAACGACGCAAAACAAGGCAGAAAGGCACUAAACAUGACCACAUCAACAAGGCGUCUCUCACACUCUCUCGCCGGCCAUCCUCCAUGAGCACUACCACUAGGACUACUCGACCUUGACGUGGAAGACGUCCUUGCGCUCCUCCUCCUUGACCUUGAGCAG